UACAGUUGGUAUCAGAGCCGCGUUUCCUCGGACCCAUCCCUUACACAAUAGUGCCUUAGAGAAAUACUCACCGAUAGAUCGUUAGUCAACCAUUCCUUAUGAAUGCAGGUACACAGAAAUGAGGAGAGGAAGGCCCCCACUAAACCGAGCGGCCCAAGAUAACUCGCUUCGGGAGGAUUUAGACAGACUAUUUGAGAUGGUGGAAGCUCUCGUAGCUGCCCAGCAAAGGCGAGAGGAGAAAAUGGAGUUACCUGGACCUCCUCCACUAUCGCAGGUUGAGCCCCCGCUACAGCAGGCUGAUCCCGAGCCACCUCGGUAGGAGCCUGCUCUUCCACAGUACCACCCGGCACCACAGCCGCGGUACGACCCGGUACCACAGCCACGGUACCACCAGGCACCGCCACAGCACAUUCCAGUACCCCCACCACAUCAGCAAGUGCCACCACAGGGCCCCCUAGUUCACCCUCAACCGGCCCCAGUCCCUCUACCCCGGGAUCCUGCUCCUUCUUUGAUUGACCCCGGCUUCAUAGAGAGGUACAGAAGACUGAACCCUUCUACUUUUGCAGGGGGGUCCUCUUUUGAAGAGGCCCAAUACUGGCUGGCAGAGACCGAGAGAGCUUUUGAGACCUUGGGAGUAGUUCCUGAGCAGAGGGCUGCCAUUGCCUCCUACAUGCUGGUAGGGGAAGCAGUACGCUGGUGGGAGCUCAAGCGGACCACCCUGCCCACACCAGCUACUUGGGAGCAGUUCUUAGCGGCAUUCCACGCGGAGUAUCUCCCUAAACACAUCCAACACCUGAAAGAAAUGGAGUUUGCUCAAUUGGCCCAGGGAAACAUGACAGUGUCUGAGUAUGCCCGUAAGUUCCUGGAGCUGGGCCGAUAUGCCCCAAAGACAUUGAUGGAUGAGGGCCGAAAGGCCAGGAAGUUUCAGUGGGGUCUCCACUCGGAGAUCAGACAGCACUUACUGGUAAUGGAGCUCGAGACAUAUUCAGCAGUCUUAGCAAAGGCGCAGAUCAUAGAAAGGAGCUUCGACACCCACCCUCAGCUAGCGGGGAGUUCCCGACCCUCAGCCCCGCUCCGCAGGCCAGCACCUACCGCGCAUGUCCAACCCAGUAAGAGGCCCAGACCCGCCAUCCAGGCCCCUCCUCAAGCUACGGGGGUAGCACGUGAGAAGAUCUGCCAGCACUGCGGCAGGGAUCACGGGGAUCGACCCUGCUACUGCCUCAGCAACACUUGUCGCAUAUGCGGCAGUGCCCAACACUAUGCAAGGGAAUGCCUGAGGAACCAGAAUUAAAGAAGGCCUCCAAUCCAGGGCAGAGUUUACAACCUUACCUAGAAGGAUUCGGACGCAGACCCGGAUGUGGUACAUGGUAUGUAUACUAUAUCUAGCCACAUUGCUCAUGUUUUGUUUGACACUGGUGCAUCACAUUCUUUUGUUUCACAUGUUCUUGCUUCCAAAAUUUGUGUAUCACCUAAUAGACUUGAUUCAUUGUUGCUUGUAUCUACCGCUGGGGGGGAGACAUUGCUAGGAGAGGUUAUCUACAGGGCAUGUGCCAUGGAGAUAGCAGAUAGAAAAUUGAGGGUAGACCUGAUAGGGUUAGACACGGGGGAUUUUGAUGUAAUUCUAGGAAUGGAUUGGCUAGCGGCGUAUCACGCCACCAUAGACUGCUUUAACAAAAAGAUUGUAUUUAAUCCUCCCAACGAGGAGCCAUUUACAAGUUAAUAAAAUCAUUCAGUACUGAUUUUCCCUGAUGGCAAGUUUUCUUAAUUCCCAGUGCCUUAAUCUUGUAUUUUCUCUAACUAGGUAAACCCAAGAAAGAAGUUUGUAUCCAAGAGAUUCCAGUAGUCCGAGACUUUCCAGACGUAUUUUUGGAUGAACUGCCCGGUCUACCAGUGGACAGAGAGGUCGAGUUCACCAUAGACUUAUAGCCAGGUACCCAGCCCAUCUCGGUUGCUCCUUACCGAAUGAGCCGCAUUGAGAUGGAAGAACUAAGGAAACAGAUCACUGAGUUACAAGAUAGUGGUUUCAUUAGACACAGUGUUUUCCCUUGGGGUGCCGGAGUUACUUUUGCAAGGAAGGGAGAUGGAACGUUGAGACUGUGCAUUGAUUACAGAGGGAUAAACAAGGUAACAAUUAAGAACAAAUAUCCUCUUCCCCGGAUUGAUGACCUUUUCGAUCAGUUGCAGGGUGCACAGGUCUUUUUUAAGAUAGAUCUACGAUCAGGUUACCAUCAGGUAAAGAUAAGAACAGAAGACAUCCCCAAGACGGCAUUCCAAACCAGUUUCGGACACUAUGAGUUCCUGGUCAUGCCGUUUGGGCUAACCAACGCCCCGGCCAUCUUUAUAGAUCUAAUAACAGGAUCUUCAGAGAGUUCUUGGAUCAAUUUGUCAUCGUGUUCAUCGAUGAUAUCUUAGUCUACUCAAAAAGUAGAGAAGAACAUGCUCAUCAUCUUGCCCAAGUCCUACAGGUCCUCAAGGAAAAGAAGUUGUAUGUAAAGUUGACCAAGUGUGGAUUCUGACUUGAGCAAACCGCCUUCCUGGGACAUGUUAUAUCGAAGGAAGGGGUAUCAGUGAACCCCGAAAAGGUUGAAGCGGUACUUGGUUGGGAAAAGCUGACAACAGUUAAGGAAAUUCGCAGCUUUCUGGGGAUGGCAGGUUAUUACUGCCGGUUUGUCGAAGGGUUCUCUAGUCUAGCAGCUCCUCUAACCCGACUCACAAAGAAGAAUGCAAAGUUUGAAUGGAAUGAGGACUGCAAAACGAGUUUUUCAGAAUUGAAGAAGCGACUGACUACUGCACCCGUGCUGGCUCUACCGAGUGGAUAAGGAGGGUAUACAGUUUAUAGUGAUGCCUCCUAUCUGGGCCUUGGUUGUGUCUUGAUGCAUCCUGAUGCAGCAUGGAAAGGUUAUAGCAUAUGGGUCCAGACAGCUAAAGAAUCAUGAGAAGAACUAUCCUACCCAUGACUUGGAGCUUACCGCAAUCAUACACACUUUGAAAACCUGGCACCAUUAUUUGUAUGGAGAGACCUUUCAAAUCUAUACCGAUCAUAAGAGUUUGAAGCACAUCUUCACUCAGAAGGAUCUCAACAUGCGUCAGAGAAGGUGGAUGGAACUCCUCAAGGACUAUGAUUGUGAUAUCCUAUACCAUCUAGGUAAGGGCAACGUGGUAGCCGAUGCCCUCAGCAGGAAAAGUGCAGGCACCCUAGCCCAUUUGAUGGUUUCAGAAUGUAGGUCAAUUGGGGCCACGCAACAGGUUCGACUGCGAGAUCUGAAGAGGGCCACAUGUUUGGGCCACCUAGCAGUCCAACCCGAGUUAAUCCAAAGAAUAAAGGAAGCCCAGUCAGUCGACCCCGCCCUAGUAACCCGCAAGAAGGAUGCAGAACAGGGAGUGAGUUCAGAAUUCUAGCUCUCUGCCGAUGGAUUGAUUCGUUUCAAGGACAGAGUGUGUGUCCCAGAUGACAGUGAGUUAAAAAGAGACAUCAUGACGGAGUCCCAUAGUUCAAAGUUUGCCAUGCAUCUAGGAAGUACCAAAAUGUACCAAACUAUGCGACCUCGGUUCUGGUGGAAUGGGAUGAAGAGAGAUAUAGCUGACUUUGUAUCUAAAUGUUUGGUAUGUCAGCAGGUCAAGACAGAGCAUCAGCGUCCAGGUGGGUUACUUCAGCCCUUACCGAUCCCGAAAUGAAAGUGGGAACAUAUUACCAUGGACUUCGUAUCGGGGCUACCCAAGGCGCGUUCAGGACACGAUGCCAUAUGGGUAAUCGUUGACCAACUUACUAAGUCUUCCCACUUCCGAGUCAUCAGGAUGACCAAUUCAUUGGACAAGUUAGAUGUAUAUCCGGGAGAUAGUCAGAUUGCAUGGGGUUCCAGUAACAGUAGUGUCCGACAGGGAUCCCAAGUUCACCUCUCGGUUUUGGAAUAGUUUCCAGCAAGCUAUGGGAACAAAGCUGUCUCUUAGUGCCUUCCACCCCCAAACUAAUGGACAAUCAGAGAGGACAAUUCGUACGCUUGAGGAUAUGCUCCGAGCUUGUGCCCUUGACUCUGGGGGCCAUUGGGACGACCAUCUACCCCUGAUAGAGUUUGCCUACAACAACAGCUAUCAAGGGAGCAUUGGCAUGGCUCCGUAUGAGGCGUUAUAUGGACGCCCAUGCAGAUCACCGAUUUGUUGGGAGGAAGUGGGCGACAGAAGAUUGUUCGGUCCGGAGUUGGUAGAGGAGACCACGUCCAAGAUAGUUAAAAUCAAGAAGAACAUUCAGACAGCUCAGAGUAGGCAGAAGAGUUAUGCAGAUAUCCGGAGGAGAGACCUAGCGUUUGAAAAAGGCGACCGUGUGUUUCUUAAGGUCACUCCUUUCAAGGGAAUUAGUAGGUUCGGCAAGAGGGAAAAAUUAAACCCCCGAUAUAUUGGACCCUUUGAAAUAUUAGACAGGAUUGGUACCACUGCCUACAGACUAGCACUGCCUCCCGAGCUCUCCAGAGUCCACAACGUGUUUCACGUAUCUAUGCUACGUAAGUACAACCCGGAUCCUUCUCAUGUCUUGGCUCAUGAACCGCUUUCACUCCAAGAGAACUUGUCUUAUGAAGAAGUACCGGUCGGUAUCACGGACCGAAAGAGCAUAAUACUCCGCAACCGGUAAAUAUCAUUUGUAAAGGUCGUGUGGCAGAACCACACGCCUAGGGAGGUUACUUGGGAACUGGAAUCAGAAUUUAGAGCCCAGUAUCCCCAUUUGUUCGAUCAAGAGUAAGAGGCAAAUUUGGGGGACCAAAUUUCUUUAAGGGGGGGAGAGUUGUAACGCCCAAUAAUUUUAGCAUUUUUAUUAUUAUUUUUUUUAUUAAUUUUAAUUUUUAUUUAUUUUAUUUAUUUAGUUUAAUUUAUAAUAAUAAAAAAUAAUAAUAAUAAUAAAAAUGAUAAUAAUUGUAAAAUUGGGUAAAAAUAUUAUUUGGAUUUAAUUGAAAUUGAUUUUGGAAAAAAAAGGGUGAAAAUUAGGAUUCUGGGGGUAUUUUUGAAAAGAAAAUCGGAAACCGGGGGUCAAAACGCAAUUUAAAAAAAUUACAGCCCGUCAGCACCACGUCAACAGCCACGUCAGCAGCCCAGUCAGCAGCCCUGGCAAACCAGGACCUGCCACGUGGCGAGACCACGUCGACCCGGGAACGGGCCACGUGGGGAAUCCGCGUGCGCCCGAUCGGACGGCCCAGAUGCGUCCCCGCGCGCACGGACGGUCCAGAUUUAAUCAAAAUGGACAGCUGUGAUCAAAAGGCAAAAGGGUAUAAAUAAAACCCCCCACACCUGACCACAAAAACCCUAGCCGCCUGCCCUCGUCGGAGAAGACGAACCAGACGCCGGAGGAGUCGGCCGCCGCCACCCGCCGCCGCACCGGGGAGUUUUUCGACCGCCGAUCGAGGUAAAUUUCAUACCCCCAGCUCGUUUUUCCACACUGAGUUCCCCUGUGGCCAAAUCGGAGCCAAAAUCUCGGCCAAACGGCCAGAAAACACGGUCGAAACCCAACGGCGCCGCCGCGCCCCUCCUCAAUUUUUGCCUCCGAUGAGGCCCUUCCCGGCCUCCGUUUGAUAAAUUUUUAUAUCACCGUGAUCACCAUUCUUUUCUCUACAGGUUGAUCGGAGCCGAAUCACCAAAACACGAACCUCGCCGGAGAGCCGCCGCACCCGAGAGCACCGCCGCCGGUAAGCUUCAGUUUUUCGUAAUUUUUUGGGCCCCCGAGGGCCCUAGGGUUGUUUUAUCGCAGGGACCGAUGCAAGUGUGGCCGAAUCCGACCGAAAACGGCCAACCCGAGACGAAUCGCCGCCGUAAGCAGCGACGUCGUCGUCGGGGCACGGCGGAGCCGCCGUGCCGAAAUGGCGAUAUUGGCCGAAAGGGGCCCUGGGUCUAAUUUGGAAUUUUUUGAGACACGUGCAGGUACCAGUAGUGCAUUUCAGUUCCACGGAAAAAAUUCAGGGAAAAUUAGGGACAGCCUGCAGGCGCACUGUAGAGCCGUAUUCGGACCCCGAAACAAGUAAGGACCCCUUACCCUAUUUCCUAUCACGGUAUUAAAGUUCAAUAAAUGAUAAAACGGUAUUUCAUGAAUCAACAGAUGUGUGAAAUUGUUUAAGGUCGCUAAUGGAGCCCGAGUCUGGUGUGUUUGUCUGUUAGCUGUUGUUUGGCAUAUUUUACAGUUUUAAAUGCAGCAUGAGGUCUGAUAUUUUCAUUUCAUAGUUUCGUGUGCAUAUAUCACUGUUUUAUUGAUUAUAGGUUGAAUGACUGAGAACCCAAUGUUGUAUGUCGUCUUGUUUGGCAUAAAUUACUGGUUUGCUUGUUUGUGUGUGAAUUGAUGAUGCUGACUGAGGAAAAAGGGAAUGAAAGGUUAUGUAAAUUGAUAAUUGUAUAAUGUGGUCAGCCUGACUAGAUAUCCUGAGAGAUGGUGGACGGAUCGGGUCCGUAGGGAACCCUACUGGGAUUGUGGUCUCUCAUACCGGACGGGGUAUGGAGACCUUAUGUGUUUUGGCGCCCAUACCGGACGGGGUAUGGGGACGGCCCGUUUCACCCUCAUACCGGACGAGGUAUUGAGGUUUAUAGUUUUGGCGCCCAUACCGGAUGGGGUAUGGGGACGGCCCUGGAAUCUGAUUACAAGUGUUAAAGGUUCACGGGUAGUGGGACCCCUAUGGAUGCCCAUGGAUACUAGUAGGCUGGUAAAUAAUGAAAAAUAUGUUGUGUAACGAUUGAGAUGCAAAAGACGUGAUAAGUAUUAUGUUAUACAGUUCCUAUGAUUUCAUGAUGAUGAUAAUGUUAUUGCUUUCGUAUAUUGUUUUAUGAAUUUCACCGAGGUAAGUGGAUAGUAAAAGAUUUUAUUAUUGAUAAAAGAAUUUGUUGUAAACUAUGCUCCAUUGGUCUUUUUGUGUUUUCUACCCACAUUUACCUCCGUGACGGUGAGAUAGUGUGAUGUCUUUACUGGGCUGGUGUAGCUCAUUCCUUAUUUAAUCAUUUCAGAUCAAGAAGACAUUGUUCCCGAGCCCGUUCCGUAGGAAGACGACGAAGGGGAUGCCUGAAGACUCCGUAGUCAUAUUUAUAGCUUUUAUUUUCGAGUUUCUCUUUUAGUUAGUUUGUUCUUUUAUACUUUGAGCACGUUUUUUAUUUUAGUGUAAGGGAUGUUUAAUUAAAAUUUUUAUUACGCUUCCACAUUUGACCUUUUUAAUACACAUAUUUCAUUUUAAAUUUCCGGGGCCGUUACAAUUCAUGUGGAUGGUCGCCGACCCAAAAGGAGGAUAACGUUUUGCUAAAUUGACGGGGGAAGAUAUGGGGAGGAUUGAAUAUACUCAUAAAAUCUACUUAAUGAAUGCAAUUCCGAAACAAUAACCCCCUAAAAUUAAACUCCCUCUCUAAUUGAAUCUAUAAUUCUAAAAGGAAAGCAAAAGUAAUGACUAACGAAAUAAAAUAAGGAAAGAAAAAAUGUCACGGACUUACCGAUAAGUUGAUCUCCGCUCCUUAGCUCAAUAAGACUUCUAAAAACUCUUACUUCUAGAAGAACUUGAAGAAGCUAAUUUUAACAAAAAUAUUAAAAGAAGAAAAACCGAAACUCUCAAGAAUUUUAUCAGAUUUAUUCUCAAAUUUGUAGCAUUUUUCGGACAAUCCAGAUGAGUACAAAAAUCUUGAGAUAAUUAAUAAAAUAAUAACAUAGAUAAAAUUCUAUCUUAAUAUAAGAUAAUUACAUAAUAAAAUAAUUAUUCUAUCCCAAAUAAAUUAAUUAAAUAAUUUUAAGGGAUAGAAUUAUAAUUAAAAUAAUAUUUAAUUUAAAUCCAUAUUUAUCCCAUGUAAAAUCUAUUUAAAACACAUGUGGAAAUUAAUUUUGACACAUGAGUAUUUUGAAGAGUGGGUCCCAAGCCUUUUUUAAAAGUUUUAAAAUAAAAUAAAUAUUAAAUAUUUAAAAAAGGAAAAAGAAGGGACAGCCGGUUGGGUUAACCAGAUGGGCCAGGCCGAUUGGGCUACCCAGAUGGGCUGGGCCGGUUGGGCUACACAGAUAGGUCGGGCCGAGUGGUCCGCGCAGGUUGAGCGGCAGAAAGCUCGCAGGAGUCGUGGGCUAGCAGGCUUGGCGUGCAUAUGAAUAACAUCACAACAUACCUCAUAUUUGUAUUUAUUGAUGGAAAAUGGUACCAUGACCUACUGGGUUACCUUUAUUUUGCCACUCUCAUUCAACCACUACAACCGGUAGAGGUUGGGAUGGGCGGUGUAUGUUAGUCCCAAUCUUUCCACGAACAGGGUGCUUGGCAUAUUGGUGAAGCUUCCUCCAUUGAUGAUCAUACUACACACCUUACCAUUGACCAGAUAGCGAGUGUGGAAUAUAUUCUUCCGUUAUUCAUGGACCUCGUCCUUGGCGUGCAAGUUGAGGGCCCUUUGCAGAACAAAGUUAUUGCUCCAGUUGGGAGUUUCUCCUGCAAGAAGACUUUAGUGAAGAUAAAACUCUCUCUUAUCUCCGCUCGUGUUUACCUCACAAUCUCUCAAUUGAUGACUUCGUCUGUCGAGUUGAGGGUUCGAAAUUGAAAUCACUUGAAUCGAGUCUGCAUGUUAGUCCUUAUGACACAACAAGGAACCCUAAAGGAUUUUGAUUUCUACUAAAGUUCAUAACAAGCACAUAGAAAAAGGAAUGGUGUGCCCUUUGUUAUGUUAAGCACUAAUAACAAUUAGUCGCUUAAUUAUGUAAUGGAAUAAACGUAAAAUAAAGAAUGAAACGUAAAUCACAACGAAUGACAAUUCAAGCUAAUGAGUAGGGAUCCGAUCAACUCCGAUGGAUAUAAUUGGUAGGUGUAUCUUCCUAUACUACCCCCAAUUUAUCAGCUAUACUCUACAAGCGGUCAAGUUUCUUUAUGCAACGUUGAUGCAGAUUACAAAAAUGCAAUUCAAAAAUUAAAUGUGGAUAAUGUGCGAAAUAAAAACAAAAGUUUUCAUUCACACCAGUUAGGCAACGUACUUUACUUUCGAUUUCUCAAAGGAUUUUCGAUCACUAAUUAGGCAGUUAUUCUGGCUUUGUGAUACAAAAUGCAAAUGUUGUGUCAAUUACCUUAUCGAGUACAAUUGGAAUAUUUUUGGUAUUUUUUUAUAUGCAAUUAUUUUUAAAAUAAUAACACGAACUACUUGAAUUGAACAGAUAUAUAUGAAUUCCAGCAUGAUGCAAUACGAAUUAACAAUCAAAUAAAUUUGAAUGCUAAUUUAAGAACAAAAUGUUAAAGUAAAUAAAAAUAUAUUUGGGUUUCUAGAAGUCAAAGCUCUAAUACCAGAUGAUGCAGGAGAGUAUAAAGAGAAUCAAAUCUACUUCUGAAACUCACUCAACGUAUGCAAUACCGAAACAAUAACCACCUAGAAUUAAACUCAUCCCUCUAAUUGAAUCUAUAAUCCUAAAAGGAAAGUGAAAAAAAAUACUUAGAGAAAUAAAAUAAGGAAAGAAAAAAUGUCACAGACUUACCGAUAAGUUGAUCUCCGCUCCUUGGCUCAACAAGACUUCUGAAGACUCUUACUUCCCGAAGAACUUGAAAAAGCUAAUUUUAACAAAAAUACUAAAAGAAGAAAAGUCGAAAUUCUCAAGAAUUCUCUCAAAUUUAUUCUCAAAUUGUGUUUUACAUCCUAGGGUAAAAGGUUUAUUUAUAGUCUUUCUCGGACAAUCUAGAUGAGUAAAAAAAUUUUAAGAUAAUUAAUAAAAUAAUAACAUAAAUAAAAUUUUAUCUUGAUGUAGGAUAAUUAUAUAAUAAAAUAAUUAUUCUAUCCUAAAUAAAUUAACUAAAUAAUCCUAAGAGAUAGAAUUAUAAUUAAAAUAAUAUUUAAUUUAAAUUCAUAUUUAUCCCAUAUGAAAUCUAUUUAAAACACAUGUGAAAAUUAUUUUUAACACAUAAGUAUAUUAAAACAUGGGUCCAAAGCCUUUUUAAAAGGUUUUAAAAUAAAUAAAUAUUAAAUAAUUUAAAUAUUUUAAAAAAAUGGAAAAGAGGGGUCGGCCGGUUGGGCUACCCAGAUGGGCCGGGCAGGCCAGUCCGCGCGAGUUGCGAUGGAGAAAGCUCACAGGAGUCGCAGGCUAGCGGGCUUGGGCCGUCCGUGGGCUUGUUUGCUUGGGCGGCCAAGUGGGAAUCCCAGGGCGCAGGUUGUGCGCAGGGUCGCGCACAUGCUGCUCAGGUCUUACGCGUAUGUGGCGCGUGGGGUGUGCGGGCUNNNNNNNNNNNNNNNNNNNNNNNNNNNNNNNNNNNNNNNNNNNNNNNNNNNNNNNNNNNNNNNNNNNNNNNNNNNNNNNAUGCAUGGGUGGAUUUCCAUGCUUGUUACUCACGUGCCAAAGGUAGUUCACGCAUGCCGCACGUGUUUUCCAUCUUCGUGUCGAGCUUUAGACCACUCUUUGUGCUUCGUCAUUGAUUGUGUUGCUUACCCAAUCCUGAACAAGCAAAUUAAAAAUUCCUUGAAGCUUACGAGUUUGACUUCAGGUAAUAGGACCUACAAGCAACUGUGCUUAUUUUUCCAUUAGGCUUAAUUCGUCGAGGACUUUAAAGUCCUACGAGUUCUCUUAUUUUAUUGCGGUAUCCUUCGUGAUGGUUUUUGCAUCAUGAAUUGCAUAGACUUUUGUGGUGAUGAAUGUGUAACAAUUAUAAGGUUUUCAUAUGAAUAAUAAGUUGAUAUAAAGAUAAACUUAUUAUUUGAGAGGAUUUAUUGUUAACAUUUGAUCAUUACACUAAGAGUACCACUUACAAGUUGAUAUUACUAUCCAAAAACUUAAUAUUAAUGUUAUGUUAGGUAUCUUAAGAUGUAUUUAAUAAUUAUUUAAAAUUUAAAUAUUAAUUAUUUGCCUUGUUAUGUGAAUAUAUAUGCUUAUUUGAUUUGUUUUCUAUACAGUAUUCAUAUAUGCUACUAUUGUGUCUACUAUCACAAACAAUAUUCUCAUACUUAAUGAGUCAAAUUUUAAUGAUUGGAAGGAGAACAAGUUAAUCGUUCUAGGUUGUAUGGAUCUAGACCUUGCAUUGAGAACUAAUCAACCUCUCCUCUUAUGGCUAAAAGUACUUCUGAAGUUAGAAGAUAUUUUGAGAAGUGGAAACGCUUUAAUCGCUUAAGUCUAAUGAUCAUUAAGUGUGGCAUUCCAAAAGCCUUUAGAAGGGUAGUAUCUAAUAAGAUUACUAAUGUUAGUGAAUUCCUUACUUAAAUUGAGAACCGUUUUGCAAAAAAUAAUGAAGCUGAAACAAGUAUCAGCUUGAUUUCUAAGGUUUUUCUCCUAAAACCAAAACAUACAUCAAAUAUCAUGGGAAUACGCAAAAAAAGCCAAAUCCUUUUUGCAGUUUAAAGAUGUGAUUCUUUGGGACUCUCUAUAUAUGUGACACCCCUGAACCUAAUUGAUAUUGGAUGCAUUUAUUUUAAAACUUUGGAAUUUAUUUUAACAAUUAAAAUAUUAUAUGCAUAUUUACAAUUUUAAUAUUAUUCUAAAAAGGAAAUUAAAAACUUAAAAACAAAGAAAAAUAAAAGGAAAAUAAUUAAAAACAUAGGUAUAGGAAAACACACCGCGGGCAAGCCUCAUGGGAAAUGGCCCGCGGGUGCGCUUGCGGAUCCCCUGCCCGCACACCUGUGCUCUUAUACACCCACUCGCCAGCACACCCGCUCACUCGCACGCUUGCAUGCUCACGAGCCCGCCUGCUCGCACGUUCCACACCUGUUCUCUCACACUCCUUUUACGCCUACACAUCUACACGCUUGUGGAACAGUGCCUGCACGCUCGUAGAACAGUGCCUACACGUCCUGGUGGACCAAAAGCUAGCCUGCCAUAUUCCCUUUGCCACUUGGUUUGCAUGCAAGCCUCCCUCGCAAACCAGUCAACCAUUUAGGCUCAUCAACAGCCUUCUUUUCUUACAUGUGAUAUGAUGAAUGACAAUGCCUUCUCCUUUGGUAUUUAAGCUUUAUUUCUCUCCUCCCCUUGUCACCUAUAUAGAAGAAGGAAAACUUGAGAGUUUGAAGGAAAAAUAAGCAAGCCUGAGAGCCCAAGUAAACCACCAGUUCCUCCUCUGAUGUUGAAAGCUUGUCACUGAGCCUUUUCCUCUCUUCGUGCACUACUUGGACGACCAUUGUAGCUGCCAUUGUCCCUCAACCCAUGAACUCUUAUAUUUCUCUUUAGAAAUUGAGCCUUUCUAGGUUUUGAUGCAAUUUCGGGUAUGGACUGGCUGGAAGCCUAUCAUGUCGUUAUUGACUAUUAGGACAAAACUGUAACCCUCCGUCCUUUUGAGAAGAAAGAUUUUUAGGUGAAAUGUUUAAAACUUUAUUUUUCAUAAACUUUUAUUUUAUAAUUAACUAGAUGUUUUGAAUUAAAAUGCUUGAUCUUUUAAUUUGACAUGUGUGGUGGAAUUUGAAUAAAUUAUCUGUCAUUUUUUCCUAGUCUCUUGAUGUAUAAGCAAAUAGACUUUGAGAACGACAUACAGUCUAUCCCAGUUGUCUUUAGCUACCCGAACACAUUUUCGGAGGAGCUUCCAAGUCUGCCACCUAGGUGGGAGAUUGAAUUCUCCAUCAACCUAUAUCCAGGGACAUAGCCCAUUUUCAAGGCCACCUGUAGUAUGGGUUAUGCUGAACUCCAAGAAUUGAAUCGUCAGUUAAUAACACUACGACAGAAGAGAUUUAUUAGAGUUAAUAAUUCUCCAUGGGGUGCUAUGGUUUUAUUUUCCAAGAAGAAGGAUGGAUCAUCCGAUUGUGCAUUGCCUAUAGGGAGCUCAAUCAGGUGAUAAUCAAGAACAAAUAUCCCUUACCCCACAUUAACGACUUAUUUGACCAAUUACAGGGUGCAUCAAGCUUUUCUAAGAUUGAUCUCAAGUCGGGUUAUCACCAUUUGAGGGUUAGAGACGAAGAUAUACCUAAGACGAUGUUCCAUUAAAGAUAUGGUCAUUUUGAAUUCAAGGUCAUGCCCUUCGAACUAACCAACGCUCUUGUAGUGUUUAUGGACCUCAUGAAUAGAAUUUUCAAGCCUGCACUGAAUCAUUUUAUCAUUAUUUUCAUUAAUGACAUUCUUAUAUACUCCAAGGAACACUAAGAACAUGCUGGCUAUCUAGCUUAUGUUUUGAAGAGUCUCAGAUGACACAAGUUGUAUGCUAAGUUUAGUAAGUACUCUUUCUAGUUGGAAUGGAUCUCCUUUCUUAGUCAUGUUGUCUCGGGUAAUGCUAUUUUUGUGUACCCCUAAAAAAUUGAGGUAGUGAUUAGUUGGAGUUAACUAACCAAUAUUACUGAGGUCUGUAGCUUUUUGGGUUUGGUUGGAUAUUAUCAUCAUUUAAUUGAAGGUUUUUUCUCGCAUUGUCGCCAAUUUGACCUGCCUCACCAAGAAGGGUGUCGUUUUCUAUUGGGAUCUUAGCUAUGAAAAAAACUUUGUCAAACUCAAGCGUCGACUGACUUCUGUCCCAAUACUGAUUUUUUCUGAUGGUACUGCUCGUCUUUACGUUUGUUGUGAUACCUCUCGCAUUGGUUUGGGAUGUAUACUUAUACAACAUAGUCGGGUAGUAGCCUAUGAUUUCAAAUAAUUAAAAUCGCAUGAACAGAAUUACCCCACUUAUGAUCUUGAGUUGACAGUCAUAGUCUUUACUCUCAAGAUAUGAGACAUUAUCUGAAUGGUCAAACCUUUAAGAGCAUCAAUCACAAAAGUAUGAAGUACUUAUUCUCCUAAAGGGAACUCAAUAUGGGGCAGAGAUAUUAGAUGGAGCUCUUAAAGGACUACGAUUACAAGAUCCUAUAUCACUCAAGUAAAAAAAUAUAAUUACCGAUACUCUUAGUAGGAAAAACUUGGCUUGUUAGCCUAGAUGAUGGUUUCGAAAUGGAGGAUGCUCCAGACAAUCCAAGGUCUCCAAUUGAACCACUAUGGUGAGGGCUCUUAUCUUGCUCAAAUUUAGAUCCAGCCCACUCUCAUCCAGAGAAAUAGGGAAGCACAUUUUACAGAUCUUAAGGUAGAGAAACAUAAGGAUAGGUUGGAAUCAAGGGAUCAAUCUAACUUUGGAAUGUUUGAUGACGGAAACCUUAGGUUUUAAGAUUGAUUAUGGGUGCCUAAUGACCCUAAAACUCAGCUUAGAUAUUUUGAAGGAAGCUCAUGCCUCUGAGUUGGCUAUCCACCUUGGUAGCAUAAAGAUGUAUUAGAAUUUGAGGCUCCAUUUAUGAUGACCAAGUAUGAAGCAUGAUAUAGUUGACUUUUUCUCCAAGUGCCUUACUUGCCAAUAGGUCAAGGUGGAACCUCAGAGACCUAGUGGUCUUCUACAUUGCCUUCCCAUCCGAGAAUGAAAAUGGGAACCUGUGACCAUAGAUUUUGUCACCAAGUUAUCAGGGUUUAGAUUUGCACCCAUGCAAUUUGGGUCAUACUUGACAGAUUGAUUAAAUCAACCUAUUUCUUGAUAAUGAAGACCACAUAUUUAGUUAGUAAGUUGGCUGGGUUAUAUGUUCAAGAGAUAGUCAGAUUCCAUAAUGUUCCAAUUUCAGUGGUGUCUGACAAGGAGCCUCGUUUCAUGUCCUGAUUUUAGACCAGCUUUUAGGAAGUCUAGGCACUAAUCUAUCCUUGAGCAUUGCUUACCACGCACAAAUUGAUGGUUAAUCUGAAAGGACUAUUUAAAAGCUGGAAGAUAUAUUAAGAGCCUAUGUACUAAAUUUUGGUGGAAGAUGGAAUAGACACCUACCACUAGUGGAAUUUUCUUACAACAAUAUCUAUCACUCCAGAAUCGGUAUGACUCCUUAUGAAGUACUUUAUGGUAGGCUUUGCCAAUCCCCCAAUUAUUGGAGUAAAGUUGGGAAUAGAUGUCUCCUAGGGAUAGAUCUCAUUCAGGAGACGAUUGAAAAGAUUGCCAUCAUCUGUAAAAACCUUAACACUGCUUAGAGCCGACAAAGAGCAAUGUCGAUAAUCGUAGAAAGGACUUAGAAUUUUCUAUGGAUGAUUGUGUUUUCCUCAAGAUCUUUCUCUACAAGGGAAACAUGUGUUAUGGGAAAAGAGAAAAAUUAAGUCCUUAUUUUGUGGGACCUUUCGAGAUACGAGAACAUGUUGGCAUAGUGGCUUAUCGUAUUGCUUUACCACCAGAAUUAAUGGGUCUACACAAUGUCGUUCAAGUCUCAAUGCUCAAGAAAUAUGACCAUAACCCUUCUCACAUCAUUCCUCAUGGACGACUCCCAAUCCACUUGGACAUGUCCUAUGCAGAGUAUCUCAUCAAGAGCAUUGAUCGACAAAAGAAGGUCCUUAGAAAUCAGACAAUUCACAAGGUCAAGGGUUGUUUUGGAAUAUCACUCCCCCUGAAGAAGCUACUUGAGAACUCGAAGACAUGAUGUGAGAAAACAUCCUAAAAUAUUUUAAAAUUUAAAAUUGAGAGGACUAAAUUUUUGUAAGGAGGAGAGGAUGUGACACUCCUAAUCCUAAUUGAUAUUGCACGCAUGUGUUUUAAAAUUUUGGAAUUUAUUUUGACAGUUAAAAUUUUAUAUGCAUAUUUCUAAUUUAAUAUUAUUCUAAAAAGGAAAUUAAAAACUUAAAAUCAAAGGAAAAUAAAUGAAAAACAAAAGUAGGGGAAAAUACUCUAGGGGCAAGCCUCAUAGGAAAUGGCCCGUGGGUACGUAUGCAGAUCCCCCAUCCAAACGCUCGCACAUUUGCGCAUCUGUGUGCCCCGCAUGCCUGCACGCCUGCGUGCCCUGCUUGCAUGGGGAAUAGUGCCCACACACCUGCACGCUCGCAAAAUUGUGCUUGCAUACCCUGAAGGAGCAAAAGCUGGCUUGCCACUACUUCCUCUAGCGCUUGGCUUGCAUGCAUGCCUCCCCCACCUGGCGGUUGGCCAUUUAGGCUGAUCAAUAGCCUUCUUUUCUAAUAUGUGAUAUGAAAUAUCACGAUGCCUUCUCCUUCGGUAUUUAAGUUUUCUUUCUCUCCUCUUUCUUUCAUUCUUCCCCUCUUCACUCUCCUCUCCUUGUCACCCGAAUAGAAGAAGGAAAACGUGAGAGUUUGAGAGAAAAACAAGCAAGCCCAAGAACCCCCAGAAACCACCGCUUCCUUAUCUAUUAUUGGAGGCUUGCCAUCGAGCCUUUUCCUCUCUCUAUGUGCUCCUUGAAUGAACAUUAGAGCUGCUAUCCUCCCUCGACCUGUGAAUUCUUCUAUUUCUUUUUAGAAAUUGAGACCCGAUAGUGUUUGGUAAAGGAUUUAGUAUUUUUCUUGUGCUUCUAUCAAUUUUUUAUGAUUUUUAACCGUUAAAAUUUCAAAUAUACACGAUGCAUGUUGAGUUGCCUCAUAUGUGUGUGUUCGGUGUUUGAGAACAUGAUUUCAUCAAAUGUAUGAGGGUUGUUUUUGAAGUAUUUUUGAUGUUAUAUUAACUGGUGAUUAUGAUAAUGCAUGUUUGAAAAUGGGGGGGACUACAUGAAAAUACAAGAGGGAAGGAAGAAAAAUUAAUUUGGGACCGACUGAGGCACCAAAGUAUCAAAGAAAUUGCAAUGCACAAUAAUGUCAUGUCUGCGUGUGCAAGGGACACUGUCCUGAGUCACUCAAGUGCCACGGUAGGGCCCUCGGCUUGCUGUGUGCGCACAUCAGCCGCAUGUGGGAACAUUGAUCUCACCCGGUGUGCCAGCACAACGAGGAGACGUACUGCGUAUGCAUGUGUGUGCAUGUUAUGUGCACGCGUGUGGCCUACCAAGCAUGUCCGCAUGUCGAGAGUCCUGCACAUGAGGGCAUUAUAGAGUUAACACAUGCAGAAGGGCCCCCCUUGACACGCCCCAGUGCAAGGCAGCUUGCUCACAAGCAGUGCGCCAUAUUGCACGAUUAUACUUGGCACACUUGUGUGUUAAGCAAGUCGUGGAGGCUAUGAUCUUCCCCUCACCCAUUUGACGAAGGCCGAGAGGGUUCUCAAAAAGGUCUCAACCUACGAAGGGACCUAGCCGCCCAACUUGAUUAUAGACCCACACAAGGUAAGGGUCAGUUUAGUGGACCCUUACUGGGGUUUGGGUUAGUUUGGUGGACCCCCACCGAGUCUGAGUUAGUUUGGUGGGCCCCCAUAGGGUUCAGGUCAAUUUAGUGGACCUUUACUGGGUUUGGGUCAGGUUGUGAGACCCUUAUCGGGUCGGGUCAUUUUAGUAGACCCUUAUUGGGUUCAGGUAGGUUAGUGGCCCCAUUUAGGCCUAAUUUCCGUCAGUGGCCCCCAAUUGGGCCCAAGUUUAGUUUUUGGGCCCAAGUUUGGUUAUUGGGCCUUAGUGGGUGCAAUUUGGCUUGACACAGGGAUAGUUUAGGAAAUGGGAAACACAAAAGGGUUUAAGAGUAGAUCUGAUGGAUCUAAUAGGUCGAAGUGAAUUCUACGAAAUGUAUAUUUAGAUUUGUGAUUCUGUAUUAUGGUAAAAACAAAGAAAGAAUUCAAAAUCUGUUUGACUGUUAUCACUGAGAUGUCUCUGAAUAUGAUUUUUCUCUACUAUUGGUGAUUCACUCUUUAUGAAUAGUAUUGGCUUUCCCUCUAACAAGAGUGGAUUGCGACUAAUUGGAGGGAUCACAGUGGUGAAGUAAUAUCGUGGUCAUAGUAUCUGAUCAGACUACUUUUUAUUAAAUUGAAAUGUUUUUACCAUUCACAGUGGUAGUCGGGGAUCCUUUCUGACCUCUGUUGAUAUAGGUUCAAACAACUUUGUGCGAAGAUCUGUAAACAGUGAAACUAAUUCAAAUAGCGUGAUUGAUAUGAUUAAGACUAUUAUUUUUGUGUCUGGUUUCCUAGAUAGCUUUCCUUAAAUUUGAUAUAUUUCUCAUUAUUUCGUUGUAUUGCUUAUGAUAUGUUUAUCACUGUUCCAUCAUAGCACUUAUGACUUGAGACGUAUUUUAAAAUGAACUUCUUAUAAUGGAAGACAUAAAGUUUUCAGCAGUCUUUUAAAUAAACAUAACUGUACUACGAAAUUUGAUGUGGUCUCUUAUGGUAAGUUUUAUUGACCAUAAAGAUAAUGGUAUUUUCUUAAAAUUUAAUGCAACGUUUGAAAUCUUAGUAGCGUAGUUUAAAUACUAAUUUUCUUACUAAGUUUUAUGGAACUCACCUUAAACUCAUCCCCCAAGAUGAUGUGGAAAGCAAAGACUCGCCUCUCGAACUGUCUCUUGAUGCCUACUUGGAUCUCUUCUUGGACGCAUAGUUGAUGAGUGCAUUUGGACAUUUUGUACUCUGAUGAACAAUAUUUUGUAAUGAUAGAAAUGGCUAGAACAAUGUUUGUGAAUAUGUCUAUUAGCCAACUUCUUUGCCUCAGAUGUUUAUGAACACUCAAAAUUUUUGUAAGAGAUGAAUUUACUUUCGUUGUAUAUUCCAUUUUAUGCACUCAUAUCUAUUCUAUCAUUGAACAUCAGACCUAGUUAAAGAGAAGAAUGUGUCGUAGGACACGAUUCUUGCAAACAGCAGCGCUACCAUUCAAACUGAAGUAGUAACUGAACGAAUGGCAAAGGAACGCCCCUUGAGGGAGCUAGCAGCACUGCCUACCAACCCGUAGCCCCUCUACAUCACUUAUCCUGAUCUAGACGUACCUUUCAAUCUGAAAUCUGGCCUAAUUCACUUGUUGUCCAAGUUUAGAAGUUUAGAGAAUGAAAACCCGUACAAGCACCUCAAAGAAUUUCAUGUCAUGUGCUUAAGCAUGAAGCUGCAUGGAGUGUCCAAAGAGCACAUAAAAUAAAUUGAGGGCAUUCUCCUUUUCCUUAGAUGAUGCUUCCAAAGAGUGGCUAUUUUACCUAUCUCCUAGAUUAAUCAUUACUUGGGCAGAGAUGGUAAAAGUCUUCCUAGAUCGCUUCUUCCCAAUGUCUUGAGCAGCCAGUAUUAGAAGAGAAAUAUGUGGAAUCCAUUAGAGGGAUUCCAAAAGCUUACACGAUUAUUGGGAGAGGUUCAAAUGGUUGUGUGCAUGCCCACAACAUGAUAUCUCAGAACAAUCUAUCAUUCACUAUCUUUAUAAAGGAUUAUUGCCCACAUAAAGAAGAAUGUUAGAAGUAGCAAGUGGUGGUGCCAUAGUGAAUAAAAUACCUCGAGAAGCUAGAGAAUUAAUGGCGAAGUGGUAAGGAACUGCUGGAAAAUUCCAGCCUUGGGUAAGACUUACAGAAAAGUACAUAACCAAAAGUUGUAGUUGACAACAAGACACAUAAAACAAACCUAGAUCCUACCAGCUAGCACCAUUUAAAAUCCUUCCAGCUUUUCACAAAGAUUUGCACAAUUAAGGAAGGAAAAAGAAGAGAAAUAGAUCCUAGAAACUUUUAGCAAGGUUAAGGUAAACAUUCCUUUACUCAAUGCAAGUAAAAAGGUACCUCCUCGAUAUGUCAUUUUUAAAAGAGCUGUGCACCAACAAGAAAAGGCUGAGCUAUAAUGAAAGGGUAAGUGUGGAAAAAAAUAUUCCAGGUAUAAUUCAAAUAAAACUACCCCCCAAAUGCAAAGACCAAGGUAUGUUUGCUAUUUCUUGUAAGAUAGGCACUUUAAAAAUAAAGAAAGCCAUGUGUGAUUUAGGAGCAUCAAUAAAUGUCAUGACUUUGUCUAUUUAUUCAAGGUUAAAUGCUAGUCCAUUAAAAGAAAUAGGUGUUAUAAUUCAGCUAGCUGAUGAUAAGUUGUUUAUCCUAAAGGAGUUCUGGAGGAUAUACUUGUCAAAGUUGAUAAUCUCAUUUUUCUUACUGAUUUUUAUGUGUUAAACAUAGAAGAUGAUAAAUCAUCUAAUCCCUCUGAUAUUUGCUAGGAAGAUAUUUCCUUAGUACAUCUAAAACGAAGGUAGAUGUACAGGAUGGUACACUCAUUAUGGAAUUUGAUGGCGAAAUUAUAAAAUUUAAUGUUUAUGAUGAUAUGAAUUAUUCUAGUGAUGUGUUUUGUGUGUAUGGUGUUAAUACUGUAGAUCUUUUUAAGUCAAAAAUAUUUUGAUCUAAGCCACGAUGAUAAGCUGAACACUGUACUUUCUAAUGAUUUUAAUAUGGACAACUUAAAAAUUUUAGAAGAAGAUCUUGUUGAUGAGAAGAAUCCACAAGAUAUGAUGUUUGAAUUUGAGGCACUUAAACCUCAAAGGAGAUGCAUUGUGUGUUGACUUUCCUAUUUCUAACACAAAAUGUCUACCUUCUAUUUUGUAGGCACCAAAACUGGAGCUCAAACUAUUGCCUGAACAUUUGAAAUAUAUGUUCUUGGGAGGAUAAGAGACCCUUCCAGUGAUAAGUUCUAACAAGCUAAACGCGUUAUAAGAAGAUAAAUUGAUUUGAGUGCCUAAAAAUUGACAAGUCUAGCCUAAGACAUUAAACAAGAGCACUUGAUGGGAAACAACCCAUCAUUUUUCUUCAUUCUUUUUCAAUUUUCAUUAUUUGUAUUAGUGAUUUCAAUUUAUUUGCAAUAUUUUCUCUGAGUUAACAUGAGUUUUAUGGUGAUUAGAGUGCAGGGAUAGAGAAUUUAGGUGCUGGAGUCGAAAAAAGCUAAGCUCUGGAACAGCCGAACAAGCCUUGACUAAAACAUUGUGUCAGACACUUAAGGCACGAUCAUGUGUUAGCUCUAAAACAUCUUUUGUGAGGGAAACACGAUCAUGUGUCUGCCCAACAUAGUCAUAUUGUGUCUACAACAGAAAAACAAUGAAAUUCCAAGAAAAACACAAUCGUGUGUCAUCCCCCACAUAAGCCUUGCCCAAGGCUUAUAUUAGUUGGCAACACAUUUGGUGGUUCCCAAAAUGUGAUAUUUUCCAAUGCACCCCAACUCCAACUCAAGUAACCAGGGGAGUUAAUCUAUCACUUCAUUUUUAUUUUUCAUUAUUUGCAUCACACUGAGGGAAAUAUGUACUUUAAGUGUGGGGGGAAGGCAUUUUGCAUUAUGUAUUGUGUAUUCUGCAUUCUGUAUUCUAUAUCUUAAGUAGCCAGUUUUCCUUUUUGGCAUAUCAUCUUAAGUAUUUUGACCUUACCUAAUUUUUGCUACAUUACACAUGCAACUCUAACAAUUUUUUACUCCAACCUUCACAACUGCCUCUCUAUUAUUUUUAAGCAGCUCAAAUGGGAUACUUCAAAAGUUUAAUUGCACUUAUAACACUCUUUUAGGAACUGUAGCUUAUUUUUUAUCUUUUCACGCUAUGAAUUGUUAUCUUUGAUUACAUGUUCAACAUGACUUGUUUGAGGGUUGCUUAUUCAAAAAAAAAUUAUUUUUUUCUUACUUUUAUGUGAAUAUCAAUACUAAGAAAGAUCUCUUCUACAACUUGUCCAGAAUUAUGUGCUUUGAAUGAAUAAAUCAAAUUAAUUAUCAUGUGAUUAGUGAGAUUGAGCAUAAAACACACUCACUUUGAAAAACAGUUGGAGUAAAAGUAUAAGAUGGAGAAUAAAAUGUACUCACAAUGAAAGAAAAUGAAAGAGACCACGAAUAAUAAUCUAUUCCUCUAGUUAAAUGACUACGAGUAAUAUUAGUAGCCACUUGAAACUGUGACUAACUAAAUAACUAGGUGCAUUCAUCACAAAUGUUUGCCCUCGCAUCAAAAGGUUGGUGACAUUUCAAGUAAGUAAAAGGUGCUCAAGUGUUUUUGUUUUUGGCAUGAACCAAUUGCAUGAAUCCUUAUAUUUAGAAGGGUUUGAUGGUUGUUCUACUAGAUAUUGGCUAUUCCCUUCAAUGAAAUUUUUGUAUGCUAAAUUUGUAAAACUCUCUCAUACCGUGUUUAGAUGUUGUCAAAGUGGUUAUUCAUUGAUGUGAUUCUAUGAAACUUAAGCCUACAAAUUACUAGUUGAUGGUUAUUUUUACAACUUGAGGGUUAAGGUAUAGUAUGCACAUUGUGAUGAAAUGAAUGGGAGUAAGUGAGUUGAAGGUGAAGAGAUGGAGAUUGAUGGAGUGUAUUGUGUAGUGCUUGAGGACAAACACAAGAUAAAUGUAGGAGAUUUUGUCAGUUCCUUAAGAGGACAUCAUUAUCAUUCCCUUUUGGGCUAUUAAACUUGAUGGUAUGCUAUCUAAUUUGAACUAUUUUUUCACUUGUUGUAGGACAAGAUAUAAGGACGAAAUGAGAAAAAAUAGCAUGAAAAGCAUAAGAGUUCGUGAAAAGAGUCAUCAGCACAAAAACAAGCCUUGGGCAAGGCUUGGUCUAGUAGACAGACAACUUAGACUUGGACUAGGCUAAGAGUCGUGCACAACAUCAUAUUUAAAUUAAAACGUGUAAUUUUCAAACAUAAAAAAAGAUAUUAUUCCAGCUAAGAUUUGGAGCCGAAAAUUAAGCGAAACAUAUUAUGGAAAGCUUAGGAUAAGCCAAAAAUCAAGGAAAAUGAUCCUAAUCAACAAAGAAAAAAACUCUAGCCCCUUUUUGGUAUAUAAAUUACGGUAGCGAAGCAGAAUCAUCAUCUCUCUUCUUCCCGAUGCUGUACACAGCAACGUCUGCUGCUCCUGUAAUUUUUCUUAUUCAUCUUUCUUUUUCUCUUUACUCUCUAAAAACUCAUUUGUGUUAAAAAGUCUAUCAUGAGAGGCUAGUUUAUUUCUUUUUCUUAGUUGAUAGAUCUAAAAACUCUAACAGUGUAUUUGUGAGAUCUAAUUGAAUUAAUUUGAGUUUUAUUUCAGAGCUGGUAUUUAUUUACUUCCUGCACCUAUAUAUAUUUGUUGUUUUGAAUCUGUUUGAACAUGGUUCGUCAUACGUAAAGAGAAACCGCAAGCAACUAGUUGAACUCCUCAAAUUCGUAAUUGUUUGAGUAGUUCUGGCACCAAGUAGUGAUCAGUGCCGCAUUGAGAAGGUAAGUAAUCUAGUUGACCGGUUCACGUAGAUGAAUCUAGCAAUAUGAAUAAGGUCUUUCUAGCUCUCAAGACCAUUGACAAGUUAAAUCUUAUGUACGUUACCAAGACUGCUUAGCAGCGAAGAACCAACUGACGAACAUUUGUUGGUUGGUUUAGGAAUAAGGAUUGGUCGUCAGAACAUUUUUGAUAACUUUAACUGAUUUACCAUAUUUUGGGUAAAACAAGUCAUUGCAUCUAUGAUCAACUACGUUAUUAGAGUUAGCUAUUUCGUUUACUAGGAAUCCUUCUUAUAAUUAAUUUAGUUUCUAACUUACAACCAAGGGUUUAGUUUAUAUUACUUUGUUUAUUUCUUAUUUCAUAUUUUGCAUUGAUAUUUAAUCUAUAAAAACUUCCUUUUAUUUGUUUUUUAUUUGUUGGUCAAAAAAGAAAAUUGGUUUUCAAUUUCCUGCGGAUUCGACCCUUCUUACUACUACUACAAUAUUAUUUUAUUGGUUAGUUAGAAAUUUAUUUUUGGUGGGUUCGACAUCCAUCACAACCCCAAUUUGGUGGUUAUAAAUGCUUGAACACCAUUUCUAACUAGUUGAACUAACAAAAAUGCUAAACAUACAGUAGCCUUACAUAUUUACGUACGUAAUUUGUAAGAGAAUAAUUAAUUUAAAGUAAGGUACAUGCAACAUUUUUUUUAAUGGAAGUUAUUUAUAAAUAACCUAUCAUUUUAUUUCUACCUUACCAUACAAAACAAAUCAAAAGCUCAGAGGUUUCCUUCAAGUCUUCCAUGGUCCUGAAGCUAAUCCUAAUCUCUCCCGCUUUGAAAUAUACUAUGGUGGAAUUUAAUGAAUUCCACAUGCUCAGGAAGGACAAUUAACCUCCUAUGCCUUAGGCAUACAACAUUGAACACAUUCAAUAACGUGACAAUGUAAUUAUUAAAAGAAAUUACAACUAUAUAUGAAGGAAAUUUUUUUAAUUAUCAUUUUAAUUUCAAAAUUAUUUUAUUGAUGUCCUUAUUAUUCCUUAUCUUACCCUUUAAAUAUUUUCCUAAAGUGUCAUACCAAUUAAUUAAUGAACCUCUUUGGAUUGUUUUCUUUUACUUAGUAUCUCUACUAAAUUACUCCUUUAUCCACACUUAUGUAUAAUGUUUACUCUUUAUUAUCUAUAUUUUAUCUUAACCAAAUUACAUCUAAGGUACCAAAGUCACCCUAUACAUAAUUCUAAAUUUUUAAAUAAUUCACAGAGUAAAUUUUUACAUGCACAAAAUUCAAUCAAAUUCGUAUCAGAUCAAAUUCAUGUCUAAUCAAAAUCAUACCAAAUCAAAGUUGUAUCAAAUAAAAAUCACAUCAAAUUUGCAUCUUCUUUCAUUUUCGUAAUUUAUUAAGGUUUUAAUCACGUGGUGUAAUUUUUAACUGGUGGUAACGUCCCGACUUCUCAGAGAAGGAAACGCUACUACACGUAUAACAUUCACCUAUAAUGUAGCAACCUGAUAAAAAUUCAAAACCAUUUCAUCCCUCGUAAAAAAUUACAAUACAUAAAGUUCUAUACAAUCUCUUAACAAUCAUUAUUUUGUUUCUAUUCUAUUUUUACAAUCCAAAAUGACUAAACUAUGAGAUUUCUUCAAAGUCUCCUAUUCGGUCUUGAACUUGAUUUAAACCUUUCUUAACCUGUAAUGAUUAUGGAAAUUUGGGGUGAGGAUUCCACUACCUCAGCAAGAAAACGGGCAGUGCCCAUAACGAAGAUAUGAAACAAACAUUCAUACAUAUAAAAUAAUGUAAAUUUUAUUAAAGUAAAUUUUGAUUUGAAAGAUAAUCAUACUCAUCAUUAUUACUGCCAAAUAUAAACUGAAAAAUAAUUAAAAGCAUCAUUUUUUCCAUUUCCCAUUCUAAACAUAUCUUUUAAUUCCUACAUAUCUGAAGUACCACUUAUAAUGCAUAUGUUGAUUUUGCACAAACUUACACUUUUACUAUUACUUAUCAGUACACAUUGAUUUCACAAACACUUGCACCUACCACAGUUUUUCUAUUGCACGUGUUAGAACAUAGAUACAUUUACACUUCUCAUGGCAUCCUCAUACCACAUUUGGUAUGAGUAACCCAUUCGCAUCUCCAUACCUUUUUUGAUAUGAGUACCACUAAAUAUGUUCACGUGGUCAUCCCCAUACCUCAUCUGGUAUGAGUACAACUCAAUAAAUCACAUAGGCAACCACAUACCCCGUCUGGUAUGUGUACCAUUAAACAUAUCACAUGGGCAUCCCAAUACCUCUUAUAGAAAGAGUACUUCACUCAACGUAUCACAUGGGUGUCUUUGUACCCAUUCGAUAUGAGAACCAAUAAUUAGAUCACACGGGCAUCCUCAUACCCCACCUGAUAUGAGUACUUUACCAGCAUCCCUAUAUCCCGUUCAGUAUGAAUACUAAUAAAUAGAUCAUGGUUCACAUUAUUUAUAAAUAUAUAUACAGUUGCUAAUAUUUAAAUGUUCAUAUUUCACAUUAAAUACAUAUAUAUGUAUAUGCAGAUGUUCAAUAUGAGUAUAUGCAGAUGUUCAAUAUGAAUAUAUGCAGAACGAGCAUGUGCUUGAAUAUUCUUUACACGUACACCCACAUCCUGCACACAUAUAUAUCCAUUUGCUUCCAAACUAACCCUUAUUUGUGAUACGCACACUCAGUCUUGUGUAUAUAUAUUUGCAACACACAUAACAAUAUAUCAACAUAGAUUACACACAUACAGAACACUCAUAUCUAGAUAUACAUCCUCACUAUACAUAUACACACAUUCACAUUAUAUUGGCACCUAAAUCCAUACAUAUAUAUAUGUAAAAAUACAACAGUCAUACAGUCGACAUACAAGUGAUAAUUUUCCUUUUUGGGAAAAGAAACACCAAAGCAAAACUUGAAGUAAUGUGUUAAAUUGUAAUUAUUCAUUUUAAAAUUAAUAAACCAUCUUAUAAAAAUAUAAAAUCUCCAAAUGAAAACUGACUCAACUCUUACUUGAAUCUCAAACAAAAAGGAAUCGAAAUUAUGACAGAUUCGACUUUCACCAUGUUUAACUUCUUUCUAGUUUUUUACUCUCUAUUUCUUAAAAUUUUGCAUACAUACUACUAAGGUUUUGAUUUAAAAGAAAAAUAAUCAAAUAUAAGGUGGAAGAAGAUUUAUUCAAACCAGCAUCAGAUUCAGACUCUAGACCUGAAGAAGUGCGGUUUUGGUUUGCCUCAUUUGCAGCUCCUUCACCACUGGACUAACUGCCCUCACACAGUAGUCAUCCGUUCGGGUCACCUUCCCUCACUUUUCCCAUUCGUCACGCCGUUAAGCUCUUCUUCUUUUUUUUCUCUUUUUUUCUUCUUAUUUUCUUAGAUUGCGACCAUUCUUCUCUCUCACUACCCAAUGACCUCUCUCUCUCUCUCUUUAUCUCUCUCCUCACACGACCAUUCUCUUCUUCCCCAUAAAUCUACAACACUCCUAUGAUACCGUGCGCCUCCUCCGCUCACAACUAUCGAUUUCCCUCCUUCUCUUUAUCGUUAAGAAUCAAAAUACUCCCUGCACUUCACUAUUUUCACAGCGGCAGCAGUCUUCCCCUUUUUUGUGCUAACCUAACCCUAUCCUCUCUGUGUUGCAGGUGAAGAAGAGGAAAUAGUAGACUAUCAUCCUUGAAGCUAGGAAUUGGGCCAAUGGGCUUGGGUCUUAGCAAGGUGAAAAUUGGGUUGGGCGAAUAAAAGGUAAUUGGGUUAGCUGGGUGUUACACUGUUACCAUUGAGGUCACAAAGCAUCCUCACUACAUUGAUAGGCCGAAUACACUUUAACUCAGACAAAAUGAUUAUACCAGUACUUCCCUAGGCAACCCUGAUCCAAACGAAAACAUGCAUACCUAUCCAUGUUUGGAGUAGGUCCAAAUCAUCCAUCUAUGUGUGGGGUUCACCAACAUGCCGAAUUUUAGUCAUACAUGUUAAAUAAAUUUUCUUAACGUCUUAUUCACACACUGACACAUUUUUUUUAUAAUUUACUCUACAUAUUAUUUUCAUUUUCACUUUUAUUAGAAUUUCCAUCACACAAUAUUUUUUUACAUCACUAUCAAUGAGAGGCAAAAGAGAUCCUCCUCACUGGAUAUGUUGAAAUACACAUAAAUCAUAUAAAAUGGUCACAAUAGUACUUUGCUAGCCAACCCUAAUCAAAAGCAUACAUACCUAUCCAUGUUUGUAGUAGAUUCAAAAAAUCCACCCAUGAGUGGGGUUCACCAACCCGCCGAAUUUCAGCAACACACGCACCCUUCCCUCCUUGAUUCACAACUAAAAGAGUUAUUUUGAUGUCUUAUUAAUAUUUUUAAAUUCUCCAUUCACACUCAUGUUUUUUAAUCAUUUGGAUAUCGUAUAUCGUAUAUUUGAUUUAUUUAAUUCUCUUCCUAUUUGUCUUACUAAUCCUUCUUAUUAAUUUAAUUUCUUACUCGUAUUUACUUAACUUUUCAUUUAUCAUUUUUCUUACAAAAUUUCUUAAUUCUACUUUACUUGUGUACUCAUUUCAUUACUUACUCUUCCUAGUCCUUAAAUGCUCCCAAACAAAAAAUGAUGUGAUCCUAGAAAGCCUAAAAUUAAUUCCGAAGAUGCAAUCUCGCUUCAAGGAUGAGCUCUGUGGAAAUCUGAACUCCUAUGGAACCUACGAGUCCGCAAUAGCAUGAGGUCUUACGUAUUUAGCACAAAAAACAUGCACACACUAGUGCAAUUGAUUAUUCUAGAGCAGGCCUUGUCUCGAACAUGAAAGUAAAUUCUAGUUUCCUAAAUAGAAACACCUAGAACUAAAAAGUAAUUUAAUCCCUGACUACUAUUCUGAUUGGGAUUAUUCUAGGAAAUAGGGCAAGUUUGUCCAAAGGAAGCUCAAGGCCCAAGUGGUGACCCAUAGCCUUAGAGAAAUUACAAGGCAAGAAAAAAGGACUAGUUUUGGCCAAACCCGAAAAGACUUCAAGGUCUUGUGGCCAAGAUGGGUCAUGGCCCAAGGUUACUGCACCAAAGGGAAGCAGAUUGGAUCGUCUUGCACCUAUGGGUAGCCACAACCAAGGAAGAGGCCCAACGCGCACCAAGCAUACGUAGCCCACAAGCAUGCAUGUGUGCAGGCAGCAAGGCCCACGCCCAAUAAGGAUGUAAGCAUGUAGCCCAAGCCUAUGCAACAGUAUCUACGUGAUCCAAGCCUAACCAGAGUGGCCCGCGCGACCCAGGCCCAAUCCGAGCAGCGCAAAAGCAGCUCGUGCAGCUUGCCUCUCCUGAAUCCUUUCAUAUUUAGAUUUUUCUCACUUUUCUUAUUUCUACAAGGUUUCCAAGCUGCAACAACUUCUAUAAAUUAAACCCAUGUGAUUAAUAUGCUUAAAUUUAAGAAAGAACUCUAUUCGAGGUAGAAGUCCAAAGAAGAUAAAGAUCCUUAAAGAUUUGGGAGAAUGAGUCUAUUAAUUUAUUAAUAUUUUAAUGUUAAGCCUCAUCAAUCGAAUUAAUUAAUUAUUAUUUUAGGAUAAGGAUAAGAAUUAGAAUAUUUUAUUAUUUAAAUAUUUAUUUUCUAGUUAAUUUAAUUCUUAGAGUUUGGAUAGGAAUCGUAAGUCCUAUUCCAAGUAAAAGUAGUAAAUAAAAGCAUAUAUAAAAGCAUUAGCCAAGCAUUAUAAACACUCAACUUUGAGAAUGAUUAAAUUAAAGCUUUGAGCUUUUCUUUGAAUUAGCUUUGUGCUAAUUUUUCUCUUCAUGUUCUUCGAAGCUAGGUGUGCUUCCUAAAGCAUUGAUUGAGUCGAGGAGUUGGGAUUGCCUUAUUGGGUAAGUCUGUAGCAUCUUUCUUUUCAUUGUUUUUGUUUUUUAGUUUUUAUUUUUGCAUUCUUUUUAAAAUUGUAGAUUUAAUUAGAGGGAGGGGUUUAACGAGGCAUUUAAGUUUCGAUAUUGCAUGCGUUUGAGUUGAGGUUUCGGGAGUCAAAACAAUCUUUCUCAUACCCUUCGUAUCAAAUGGUAUCAGAGCUUAGGCUCCUAGUGAACAUAUUUAUCUUAAUUACUUAAGCAUUAUUGUAACUUAAUUAACAUUCAAUUUUAUUUUGAAUUGUUAAUUCAUAUUACAUCUUGCUUAAUUUCAUAAUCAUCCAUCUAAUUCAAGUGGUUUUGUUUUAGUAUGGUUAAAAAAUUACAAAACUAAAAAAAAAUCCAAAACAAUAUUCCAAUUGCACACCAUAAGGCAAUUGGAACGUUGUUGCAUUCUUGUAUUCAAAAGAAGAGUAACCACGUACUACUGUGACUUGAAAAUCUUUAUAGAGUCAAUGGUAAAAUACCUCACCUAGUAGGUGCACGUGAAAACUUUUUGUUUUCAUUAUACUGCCUCAUUCACUUGCAUAAAUGCAAAGAGGAAGAAUAGCUCACCCACUAUGAAUGAAAACUUUUUUUAAUUCACACUUAAUUGAUGUUUUGCAUCUCAAAAUUUUGGCUUGAAGUUACAUAAAGAAACUUGAUUAUUCGUAGAGCACAGUCGGUAUUGGGUAGUAUUAAGAUACACUUUCCAAUUAUAUCUAGCGGGAUUGAUUGGAUCCCUACGCUAUCUGUCUAUCAUGUUUUCUUUAUGAUCUACAUUUUCAUUAUUCAUCGUGCAUUUAUUCCGUUGCAUAUCUAAGUAACUGAUCAUUCCUAGUUACUUAGCAUAAAAAUAAAAGCACAUAAUUCCUUCUUCUGUGUGUUUGUUCAUGAGCUUUUGUAGAAAUCAGAUGCCCUUAGGAUUCUUGUGUUAUAAAGACUAACGUGCAGGUCUUGAUCUAAGUGAAUCUAAAUCUAAAUGCUCAACUGGACAAAAUAAGCUAUAAUUUGAAAGAUUGUGAGGUAAACUCGAACGAAGGUAAGGGAGAGUUAUCUGCUUUCAUUAACCUUUCCUUGUAGGAAUCUUUCAUAAUGAGUUUUUGUGAUGAACUUGUCAAACUCCAAUAUCUAUUUGAUGAAUGGAAGGACCUAAUAUGAGAAGCAUUAAGUGAAGAGAUUGUCCAUACAUAUAAUAAUGUGAUGGAGAACCUUCCUAUUCAACAAAAGAUUCAAGCUCCCGUAGAGAUCGAGGACCCUAUCACAAAAGAUAUAAAAGAAGGAAAAGAAGCCAACCACCAAGAUAAUUCGUGUGUAGUUGCUAAGUCUUUUAUCUUCAAUAAUGAUUUCUUGCAUGAUCUAGGAAGAAGUGUCGAUCUAGUUGAGAAUUAAAUCAAUGAGGAACUCAACGAGCCAAGUAAGUAUAAUGAGCUUUUUAUUGUUAUCACAAAUAUUUUCCUCUGUGAUGAAGGUCAAGAUUCGAGGACAAAUCUCUUUCAAGAAGGCGCAGAUGAUGUGUCCUACAAAGUCUAAAAUUAGUUUCGAAGAUGCAAUCUCACUUCAAGGAUGAGCCCCAUGGAAAUUCGAACUCUUACAAAAUAAUUUCCCAUGAGUUUGCCAUAGCACGGGGUCUCGAGCAUGUUGCACAACAAACAUGCACACGCUAGCGCAUUAGAUUAUUCUAAAACAAACCCUGUCUUGAAUUGGAAAGUAAAUUCCAGUUUUCUAGAUGGAAAUACCCAGAACACAAAAGUAAUUCAAUCGCUGACUGCUACCCUAAUUGGGGUUAUUCUAAGAAAUGGGGCAAGUUUACCCAAAAGAAACUCAAAACCCAAGUGGUGACACAUGAGCUUGGAGAAAUUACAAGGCAAGAAGAAAGGCCUACUUUUGGCCCAAUUUGAGAAGGCUUCAAGGCCUUAUGGCCAAGAUGGGUCAUGGCCUAAGGUUGUUGCACUAAAAGGAAGCAGAUUGGAUCAUGUUGCACCCAUGGGCAGGCCACACCUGAGGAAGAGGCCCAGCGCACACCAAGCAUGGGUAGCCCAUAUGUGUGCAUGUGCAUAGACAGCAAGGCCGAUGUCCAGUAGGGGCGCACGAGUGCGUCCAGGCCCAUGCAACACCAGCCAUGUGAUCCAGGUCUAACUUGAGCAGCUCGCGCGACCUAGGCACAACCCGAGCAGCCCAAAGGCAGCUAGUGCGGCUUGCCUCCCCUAAAAUUUUUUAGAUUUAGAUUUUCUCACUUUUCCUAUUUUUACAAGGUUUUUAAGCUGCAACAACUUCUUUAAAUUAAUCCCAUGUGAUUAAUAUACUUAAAGUGAAAAAGGAACUCUAUUCAAAGUAGAAGUCUAAGGAAGAUAAAGAUCCUUGAAGAUCUGGGAGAAAGAGUCUAUUAAUUUAUUAAUAUUUUAAUAUUAAAUCUUAUCCAUAUGAUUUAUUAAUUAUUAUUUUAGAAUAAUUAUAAGAAUUAGAAUAUUUUAUUGUUUAAGUAUUUGUUUUCUAGUUAAUUUAAUUCCUAGAGUUUGGAUAGGAAUCUUAAGUCCUAUUCUAAGUAGAAGUAGUAAAUAAAAGUCUUUGUAAAGGCUUUAGCUCAAGCAUUAUAAACACACAACUUUGAGCUUUUCUUUGAAUUAGCUUUGUGCUAAUUUUUUUCUUCAAGUUCUUCAAAAUCUGUGUGCUUCCUUAAGUCUUAAUUGAGCGGAGGAGUUGGGAAAGACUUAUCAGGUAAGUUCGUGGCAUUUUCUUUUUCUCAUUUUUAUGCCCUAAUUUUUGUUUUUAUAUUUCUUUUAGGAUUGUAAAUUCAAUUAGAGGGAGAGGUUUAAUUAGACAAUUAAAUUUCGAUAUUGCAUGUGUUUAUGUUGAGAUUCCGGGAGUCAAAACGAUCCUUCUCAUACCCUUCCGCAUCAAAAAACCUUAUUACGUUUCAAUAAUAAUUUGUCAUCCUUAUUCAACUUAUUAUAUCCCUCCUUAGCUUUUUUUUAAUCAUUGUAACCAUAAGUAAUUAUAUAUUUUAAUGUUAUCAAAAUUAAUUAAUUCUAUUCAUAUUCGUUUUACUAAAUUCUUUCAUACUGAGCAUUUUCAUUUUCUUUAGUGUUUGUUUUAGGUUUUCUAAAAAAAUUAUUUCUACCAAAUUAAUAUCAUUCAAUUUAAUGUUUUUUAUUUCCUUUUAUCUAACUCUCCCUAAAUAUCACCAUUGUUUUAACAUUUUAUUUAAUUCUAUUACCCAUUUAAAACAUGUUAUUUUCAUAUAAUCUCUUAUCACUCAUUUUUAGCUUAUUUUCAUUUACAAUAAUUUAAUUAUCAUGCAUAAUAAAACCAAUUCUUAAAUCAAUUAUUUUGAUCAUUCCACCCUUCUUUUUGAUCUAAUUACCAUGUAUGCUAAUUAAUCCAAGUUCUCAAAUUAGUCAAAUCUGUAUCCCUCUUUACCUUGUCUUUUCACGAGUUUAUAAUUUUUAUUAUAACUUAUUUUAAUGUAUUUUCAUUUGUCUCUUUCGCACAUUUGCUCAAUUUUAUUCAAACCUCUAAUUAUUUUCAUGUAAUUUCUCCUAUUCUUGUCAAGCAAAUCCAUUCACACUAUGACAAUACAAGGGCAAGCAUAAUUCAAUUCACAUGCAAAAAAGUAAAACAUGCAAGCCAAAAUCACACUCAUGCAAACAACGUACAAACGGAGAAGGAAAAAUCUUUGGAAAUCAUCAAGCACGAACCCUAUCCCAUUAGACACACUUCCUGGACAAUGUUCAAGCCCCAUUCUCGAUCGGGUCCUUCACUCACCUACAUCAACUUCUAUCUCAAUUUUGGGCUAGUAAAACAUUACUAAAUUCCUAACAUUUACUAAAAGUCCAAGGGGAACCAGAAAUAUUUACAAAAUUUUCCGAGUAAAUCUUCCACCAAAUCGCGCUUAUACGUAAAGAAAUCACUCAAAAAUAACCAAAGACGUUCGAUUUCUCGCGUGCUAAUGAUUUUCCCGUCCGCUCUGAAUCUAGGAUAGACGUUUUUAAGUCCUGAAAUCACAUGUAAUUUAGAAUGCAUAACCCUUAAAAUGAACUAAAGGUGUUGGCUUCAAAAAUAACUUACUGGUGCUGCUCGAGUUCUAGUUCCUUUUCACUUUCAACGAACUUUAGGGAUUUGGAAGUUGGGUUUUUUUAAUCUAAAAUGCUAAGGGAUUAUUAGAACGGUCAACAAAUGAAUAACAUCUAAAAGGAAACACAAAAUCACAUGUUAAAAUUAAUUCCCAUCGCUUCCUUACUGCAAAGUUGAGUGCCCAUCUUCCCCGCGACAACUUUUUCUGCUUCCAUGUGGCCGACCAUUUUCGAUUGUCCAAUCAAGGAGAUUGCCUCCCACAACCGAUUACCACUCUUCUUCUCCUUCUUCUUCUUCUUCUCGGUCACUGUCGCUCUCUUUCUCUUCCUCUCUCUGCGCUCGUAGCUAGCAUUUACCUUCUCUCUCUCUCCUUUUGCUGCAGCAGAUCCCUCCAUCAACUCUUCCCCUUUCAAAAAUUAAAGGAAGACGAUUAUGGUUCCUUAUGUACCUUUAAUACAAAUUCAAGCUUUUUAUCCCAAAAUCUGGGCCGUUGGAUUAAAGAGGGUCAUUUUUGUCAUUUAAUAUUUGAAAAAUCGAUCCUAACCGUCCAAUCUUGCUUUCUUAAAUCAUGGUCGUUCGAUCUAGGGCUUUAUUAAGGUUAUUUUUGUCAUUUUACACUUCUUCAUAUCUCAGCUCUUAGAUCUAGAUUAGGUAAUCUAGGCCAUCAGUCAGAUUUUUUAAUUGGGACCAUUUGUUUGUUUAGGCAAGAAGCAAAUCUGGUCGUUCGUUUGAUUUUUAGAGAGCAUCAAAUCUAAGUCAUCUGAUCGGUUUCGCGAAUGUGUGGGCAUCCGACAUGGUCCACAUUUAAAAAAUUGCAAAAUGAUCCCAAGCGCACAAAAUCCGUUUAUUUAGGGCCCCGACAUGUUUUUAAAAAUUAAAAAAAGGUCCCAAAUAUCCGAAUUUCUUUCGAGUCUUUAAACCCUUAAUUUAAUCAUCUUUGGGUUUAAACUUUAUUGUUAAAUGUCUUUGGGUUUGCAUAAUUCUCAAAAGACCAAUAAUUUCAAAGUCUUGUAUUUAAAAAAUGGAUUGGGAAUUAAUUUCUCACAUAUAAGGGACAAAUUCAUAGAAUUAAGUCCUCCGAAAAAUGGGUAAUUCAGGGUGAUACCCUUCGGGUUCCUAAUUCCUACCAAAAAUAUGUUCAAAACAGGUGUACAAAGUUGGGGACGUUACAACUCUCACCCUCUGUAAAAAUUUGAUCCUCCAAAUUGCACUUGUAUAANNNNNNNNNNNNNNNNNNNNNNNNNNNNNNNNNNNNNNNNNNNNNNNNNNNNNNNNNNNNNNNNNNNNNNNNNNNNNNNNNNNNNNNNNNNNNNNNNNNNNNNNNNNNNNNNNNNNNNNNNNNNNNNNNNNNNNNNNNNNNNNNNNNNNNNNNNNNNNNNNNNNNNNNNNNNNNNNNNNNNNNNNNNNNNNNNNNNNNNNNNNNNNNNNNNNNNNNNNNNNNNNNNNNNNNNNNNNNNNNNNNNNNNNNNNNNNNNNNNNNNNNNNNNNNNNNNNNNNNNNNNNNNNNNNNNNNNNNNNNNNNNNNNNNNNNNNNNNNNNNNNNNNNNNNNNNNNNNNNNNNNNNNNNNNNNNNNNNNNNNNNNNNNNNNNNNNNNNNNNNNNNNNNNNNNNNNNNNNNNNNNNNNNNNNNNNNNNNNNNNNNNNNNNNNNNNNNNNNNNNNNNNNNNNNNNNNNNNNNNNNNNNNNNNNNNNNNNNNNNUCAUCAAGUGGUAAAAUUUUAUUUAUGUCUUUUACAGGUCUCACAUAAAAAGAUGUUCUAACUUAUAUCAGCUGAGGGCAGAAGGGAUCCCCAACUACCACUAUGAAUGGGCAAACAAAUUCAUUUCAAUAUUGAUAUUUUAGAAAUAAACUAAUGGCAACGAUCAUACUUCACCAUUGUGGCCUCUACAGAUAAGAUAAGACUAAUAAUAACCACGAUCGUGCUUUACCACUGUGGUCCUUACAGAUUAAUUGCGAAUCCACUCUCGUCAAAGAAAAUACUAGUACCAUCACAGGGAGUGGUUCACCAAUAGAUUCAGAUAUAGAAACAGAUGCAGAAACAGAAACUCCUCAGUGAUAACGGUCAAACAAAAUUUCAAUUCUCUCAUCUUUCUUUACUAAUUUCGAUCCACAGAUAAUCAUGAUUCCAGACCAUGGUGGGAGAUCAACAUAUCCCAACCUAAGUAGGCCUUUAUACCUAGAAUUGGCCAUCGGGUCAUCUUCUCUAACUGAGACUUAAUAGAACAACUCUUUCCACUAUCACUAAAGGGUAAAGUAGAAGGCCAAAUCCGCACAUAUAUCAAGUGUUAUGAAAUGUUCGAUUAAAUAUGCAUUUUCAUUUUUAAGGAAAACUACAAACACAUAUAUAUUCACUCGUAUCAUGUAGUCGAUGAACAAUGUUUAAUUUCAUGCAUAAAGACAAAUCAACAUUCGCAAAUUAAUUAUCUAGAAAUUCGUUUAGAAAUGUAUGAGAAAAUACUUGAGAAAUCUCUUACCAAAACCUUUAAGCUUUUCGAAGUCCUAACGGAAAAGAUGGAAAUAUUACUUAAUGACUUAUAAACCAUACGAAGGAAAUUUGAACUCCCUGUCUCUCUCACAAAUUUUCCCUAAAUUCUUUCUAUAAUAUGAGGAAGAAGAAAUGUGUGAAGUGAAAAGGGAACAGGUGGGCCUUUUAAAUAGAUUUUCCAUGCGAACGCCAUAAGAUUGCUUGGGCAAUCAGUGGCUGCUGGUCGACCACUACAUAAAAUUUGCAUUCACGCCCGAAUGGGCUAACAUGAUAGAUAAACUAGUAGGCAUGCUCGCGCACUGUCAUGUCCGCAACGUGACAACCCCGCGUGUGCAGCUGACACGCUCAUCGGCUUACGGGCCUUUCUCAUGGGUUCGUGGAGUUUUUUCGCACUGAUUUUUUCGUUUUAUGUUUUUUUUUUAUUUUUCCUAAAAAUUUCAGAAUAAUUUAGUACAAAAUAAUAAUAAUAAAUAAAAAUAAUAAUUUUGAAAAUUAAAAAUUAAGAUAAGGUCAAGCGUAAUAAAAUUCUAAAUACCGACUAAAAUUUAAAAUUAACGUCAAAGGCCGUAAUGCACUAAAAUAUGAAGUAUAAAAAAAGGGCAUUUGAAUACAAAGGUUUCGAGGUGCUACACUAAUCCUCAAAAUUUUUUCAUUUGAGCCUAAUGUCUCCUUAUUACAUUCUAUAAAAUUAUUAUUCUGAAUUGACUUUGAUGGAUGCAUCAUAACUUUUUUGAUGUUGUCUUAAGAAUCUUAAUAACGUACGUCGUAUCAUCUAUUCUAUACAAGGUGAUUAUUCAAUUACCAAACCAGUGUUGAUGCAUGAUAGGUUUAGAGCCUCCCAAGAUUCAUAUAUCUCAUUUAAGUUAAUCAUUUCUAACUCUUGAAAAUUAAUAUGUGAUUAUGUUGAAGAUAUCUUUUAUACUCUCUAAAUACCAUCAAAACAUACGCAUUGUCUUUAAAGGUUUGGGGUUAUAAACUAUUUUUAGUUGGUCCUACUUGUAUUGGAAAUUCACUAACGUGACAGUUUAAGCUUAUUAUUCCUUCUUAUAAUCAAGACAUUCAAGAUAGGUGAGCACAUAAAUUAAGUUGGUGUAGUGGUUCUUUUAUGACUUUCGAAUAGUACUUGUGGUUUUGGUACAAUAUUAUGGUUUUCAAGAACCUUAUUUUUCUUUUUUGAUAAAUUGAUAUCAUAUUAUAUCUUUAAUUCGUCAAAGUUUGAACGAUCUCUAAAAUGCCUCAAUACUUGAUUCAACUUUCCCUAAAGUCUUUUUGGAAUUUUCAUUACAAGUCAUGGAGUCAUAGUUACUACCAAUAAUCAUUAGGAGUUUCUUUAGUAGAAGGGUCACUCAUUAGUUUACUACAUUUGGUUAUGAUCUUAAGAUAGGGUUCACGAGCUUAUCACAUCAUCAAUUUCUCCUUAUUGGUUUGGAGAGAAAUUUCUUACGUGUGAUUGGUUAUAGGUCCACUACUAUUCUACUGCACUAUUCUUAUAAUACUUACUUUAAGGGUUUGUGGUAAGGUAUUGGUAUAUUUUAUCAUUUUUUUUCUUCUUUUAUGGUCUAUUUAGCUAUAAGGGAAUCAUAAUCUAAGGUUUUCAUGUUAUUAGUGAUUGUUGUCAAGGUAUGUCCCAAGGGUUUCCUUUUCUUUUAUAGAAAUCUAUUUUAGGAGGAACAAGGACUUUUUUGGGAGAAGUCUUCUAACUAGAAGUACUCUGUCUUAAUUUACUAUAAGGAUUUCCUAUCCGCUAAACACAUAAUUAUUCGAUCUCUUAAAGUACUUUUAUUCACCAAACAAUGAUUAUUCGCUAAUUUAGGGCUUGAGUUGUUAUUGGAACCUCUAUACGGAACCUUGAUAGAAAUGUUGGGAUGCAUAGGGUAUUCGUUCUUCCUAAAUAAAAUUCAUGGGGACUAUAAAAUUCAUCAAGGUAUUUGGUAGUUAUUUAGUCUCCCAAAAUGCUUAAACUUAGGUAUACUCGUUUUUGGAUUUUUACUUCUUCAUGGUCUCCAGCGAAUUUAGAAAAGGUUUUCUUAAAGCUCACAUACUUGGGAUGUUUGCCUCCACUUUAGGGAUUUUUCCUUCAAUCAAAGGGUUUUUUCCCCCUAUUCGGCAGAUUUUUUUCCCAUUUGGGGGAUUUUAUUUUUAUUUGGAGAAAUUUUCCCAUAGAAUGCUCCCUUUCCCCUAAUCUAAGCAAAAUUCAACAUCUUCUUAGGCAUUUACCCUAUUUUCUUUCUUCGGUGGGUGCAAUUCUUCAGUAAGAGUUUGAGGCUCUGAAGGUUUGUCUUAUCAUUUGCUAUAUUUGACUAUAGAAAUUACUUAUUCACUCUUUCCAGUUAGCUUCGGGUAAAGCCAUACUUGUAAAGGUUCGAACUAAAAGAAAAGGAUAUAUUAUCUAAAGGCGGAAACAAAUAAUAAAGUUAGGGUUUACAUUUCUUACAUAAUAAAUUAGAAUACCCAAUAGGGCUACAUGAAUAUCCCUACUACAAUGGAUUGUAAAAAGAAGCAAAUAAAUGAUUUAAAACAAAUAGAUAAAUAUCCUAGGGGUUAACCUCCACUAGCUAUUGAAGGUGUCCGGGAGGUAAACUGCUCACAACCUUCUUGCUGAUCGGGAUUUAGAUCUUAGUUCUCUUAAUAUAAAAUGGUUAAUAGAAGAUUGAGCUACACUAGUACAGUAAGAAUAUCACUCUAAUUACUGAUAUGAAAAAUAAAAGUUGGUAAAAAUCAUAAAACAACUAAUGGAUCCCUUAAUUUAAGUAAAUUCAUUUAAUAUCAAAAAACUAUUUCCAUACUUACUAUUAUGAGUUUUUCAAAACAAACUUAUAAGACGAACACCUAUAUAACAUCUAUAAUCUCAUGUACAAGUGAGUAAAGUUGGUCAUUCUCCAUUUUUACCUGUUUACUGGGACUCUUGGGGGUCCAUAGGGACAUUCCCUUGUUCGUGAACCUAAUAUCUAGAUUUGUUGAUUUACCUAGUCGUCCUCACAUUCCGUCUGGUAAUGGGCGCUGAACACACCAUCGCAUCGAUACCUCAUUCGGUAUGAGGGUGAACCAUAUUUUCUAACCUUUCCGGUAUGGGAUCCCUCAGCUCCAUCUGACUGAGGUAUUGUCUACGGUAGGGUUUUUACUAUGUACCGAGUCCGUCCACUCUUUUCUAGGGUACCCAGUAAGUCAUCUAUAUAUAAAUCCCCAUCAACAAAUAAUCAUCAAUUGUCUACUAACAUGUCAUUUUAUAUUCGCAGAUCAAUCAAACGACAUUUAAACAAAUAACACAUCUUUUAUACCUUAACAAUUAAGAAACAUAAUUAGGGUCCUAUUUUAAAUCAGUCAAUCAGAUAAAAAUCACAAUCAGACAAUCAAUAAUGAGGAAGUAACUAAAUGUAAUAAUUAAAUCAUACGGCAGAAUAAUAAAUAAUUCAGACAGUGUAGGAAAAUAAAUAGACAUAUAGACGAGUUUAGAGCAAUCGUAUACUAACUAAUUUCUAGCUCCACUAGUGACUUGUAAUUAUUGUUAGAGUUUUUCUAAUUUUUACAAAACAUACGAUUACCAAUUUAUUAAAUCUCUAUUUAUUGUAAUAGGGAAUAGGGUGAGAGAUCCUUACUCGGAUCGGUGCUUCAACGUACUGUGCUACCCACUACGCCUCUUGAGGGGCCCUAAGUUUCCUAAAUUUUUUCUGCGGAAAAUUAAAAUNNNNNNNNNNNNNNNNNNNNNNNNNNNNNNNNNNNNNNNNNNNNNNNNNNNNNNNNNNNNNNNNNNNNNNNNNNNNNNNNNNNNNNNNNNNNNNNNNNNNNNNNNNNNNNNNNNNNNNNNNNNNNNNNNNNNNNNNNNNNNNNNNNNNNNNNNNNNUAGAAAUAUUGGAAAUAAUAUUUAAAGAAUGUAGAACUAUUCAACACCCAACCGAUCAAUAUUAUUAAUUAAUUUUUUCCUUCAACAUAUUAUAGAUAUAUAUAAUAUAUAAAUUAUUACAGGGUCAAGUUGAGUGAUGAUACACCUAUAACAUAUAAUUAAACCAUAUAUUUCAAAAAAAAAGAAACAUGAAAAAUUGGGGACAAGGCAUUUGAGUCUAAUUAUUGGAGAGCUUGAUAAUUCUUGCUAGGCAGUUGUCUGCAGGCCUUGGAAUGGGUAGGUAUACGAUGGGGCUGGCAGGAUUGAGCCGUUCAAGCCUGAAUCAUGUGAAGACAAAUUAUUAAUUAAUUAAUUAAGUAGAAGUGAAAGUAUGAAUUAGAAAACAAAUUAUUAAGUCUGUAAUUAUUGACCUGUAGUUGAGAAGGAAAUAGUGGAGGAUAAUGGAGACCUCAAGCUUAGCUAGGUCAGCUCCUGGGCAUAUCCUGCUUCCUCCUCCGAAUGGAAUGAAAGAAGUUGGUUUGGGUUUGUAAUCCUACAUCAACAAUUAUUGAUAAUUUAUAUAUGUUUAUUAUAUGUAUUUAUUCGUGAAAAAUAUGUAUAUAUAGAAUAAUUAAAGUAGAGAAAAAUUCUAAAAAGGUAUAUAUAAAUUUAGAAAUUAAAAAUUAAAAAACAUUUUGGAGAAAACUUACAUCCCAUCUGGAUGGAGAAAACUCUGUUGGGUUUUUAUGGAUUUCAGGAUCCAUGUGAACGCCUCUAUUCCACACUAAUACUUUCCAGCCUUUGGGUAUUAAAUAACCUGAUCAAUGGUGCCAUAAUUCAAUCCUUCAAUAAUUAUUAAUUCGUGUUCUACAAAUAUAAAUAUGAUUCCUUUAUUUUAAAAUUUGUCAAAAAAAAAAAAUUGAUAAAAUCUACCAAAUUAUCUAUUCUAUAGAGGAAUUAAAAAAAAACAGAAAUUAAAAAGCAAAAAAAAAAUUAACACUAUAUACUAACCAUUUAUAGUUACAUCCUUUUUUGCCUGUCGGAAAUUUGAAAAUGAAAGACUUGUUCUUCGAAGUGUUUCAUCAAUUACCUACCAAUUUUUAUCAUUAUUCUAAAAAAUUAUACAGAAACAAAUGACAAUUCUUUUAAUUAAAAAAAUAAAUAUAUAAAUAAACAUAUCAUACUUUACUAGUGUACCGCAUUUGUCUUAUCUCAUUAAGAUUCAAACCCUUCUCGGUGGAUGCUCUUCCCUUCACCACCUCCUCUUGCUCUUCCUAAAAUUUCAAUGUCAAGUUUAAUCAAACUAAUUAUCAACUACUAAGUUCCAAUAUUAAUAGUUCUAUGUAUAUAACAAGUAUAUAAAUAUAUAUAUAUAUAUUAACAUGGGCCUUCUGCAACAAGUCUGGAUGUUGAUUGAGGUAUAUAAUUGCCCACAUUGCAGCGUGUGCUGAGCUUUCAUGUCCGGCUAACAGGAAGACAAGCAGUAAAUCUAUAAUAUCCUCGUCUUCCAGCUUCACACCAUUCUCAUCUUCAACUUCCAACAAUAAAUCAAUCAUCCCUCUCUUUCGAUUUUCCCAAUCUUCAUUUUUAAGUCCCUUCCUUUCCUCAAGAACUCCUUGAAGAAUCUCCACCAACUUCUCUCGUGCCUACGCAUCCCAUAGACAAUAAAAAUCUAUUAAGAGUAUUAAUUCAAGUGCGUGUUAAAUAACUUAGUUUAUCGAUUAUACCAAAAGUUUAAAUGGAUGAGAAACUGCUCAAUUUAUUAUUUAUAAAUUAAUAUUCUCCUUCAUGUGUGAUAUUAUUAAGUUUCUAUGGUGAUACAAAAUAAUAAAAACUACAUACUAAUAGCACAAUAUAAUACGAAAUAAUAUAAACUGAUAAGAAGUAGCACAAUAUAUUAUCUACAUACUAAUGGGAGUUGAACUAUGUGAAUAGACAUACACUAAGAUGUAAAUAGGACAUACUUUGAGUGCCUUGUGAAAGGCAAAACCAGGGAUAUUAAUAGCAGCUGCCUUUAAUCCAUAGUUGAAAUCAACAUAGUACUUCUCCAUUAAUUUACGGAUGGAAUCAUUAUGAGAACCCAAGAAUAUGUAGGUAAUGACUUUAAACGCAACCUUUCUCAUCUCACUUAAGAAUUCAAUUGGGCAAUGCAUGGAGGCCCACUCGUCCAAUGAACUAACCACAAUGUCCUCUAUAUAGGGAACAUACAUCCCCAGAGCGUUGUGUCCAUUGAUGGGCGAGGUGGUGAGCUUGCGUAGACGCUUGUGCUCAGCAUGUGAAAUACUAUGAAAUGAUCUUUUUCCAGUCAACUGCUUCGUUGAGGCCGGGUAGCCUAGUGCAAAGUGCUCGUCAUCUGCUAACACUUUUCGGCAAGUCUCCGGUAUGCUCACAAUGAUGCUUGGGCUCCCAAACACAUAUGUCUUAUAUAUACCAGUUCGUCCAUAUCUACACAUCAUGCAUCACAUAUGCAUACAUAUGUGAGGAACUUACUUCUUAAUAUCCUAUGUUUUAAGAUUUUUCAGAUUUAAUGCAUAAAAUUCAUUUUAACACAUAUAUGUACACACAUAUUUACAUAUAUAUAUAUAUAUAUAUAUAGAGAGAGAGAGAGAGAGAGAGAGAGAGAAACCUGGUAACCAAAUCAUAGAUGAAGUUAUCUGGAGUUUGGGAUUUAAAGGUUUUGAUGAAAGAGGGCAUAUUCCCAAGCAAAGGCCAUCCCAUAUCUCCCGGAGGAAGAAGCUGCUUCUUCUUCCCCAACCUCCUAACAUAAUACCACUCAUUUACUCUCCUCACUAACCCAAAUACUACCACAUAUCCACACACAAUACCUCCAAAUAUUAGUAAAAGCAAAUUUAAGUACUGCAUUUUCUUUUUAAUUAUUCUCUUUUUUCUGUUUAAGCACUUCUAUUUAUAGUCCAUCGUUAACCAUCCAAUAUCUUUUUAUUCUUACCAAGUAAACGUCCCAUUUAUAAAAAAUAUAUAUAUAUAUAUAUUUAUAUGUCUUUUGUUUUCAUGAAUGCAAACCACCUCUAUGUCAUUUUCAUUUCUUUCCUAAUUUUAAAAUAAACAACUUUGUUUCUUCUCUAUUCAAUCUAUGCCAGUAACUUCCAAUAUGACCUAGUUGUUAUUAUAUAUUUGUGUAUGUGUAUAUAUAUAUGGGACCAUGUAUCUAGAUAUUAUAUUACUUAUAAUUAAUAAACCCAUUUAAUAAUUAAUUAUUACAAGCUGAGUAUCUUGCUCAGUCUUCCUAUUUAUAUGACUACAUUUUUUAAUACAUUAUAAAAAAGAGAAAAAUGUAACCCAAACGAUAAGCAAACAUGAGUUGCGUACUCAAAACAAGUUGACUUUUUUCCCUAUGAGAACCUUUUGCUCCCAAGUUGAUAAAAUAAUGAUCAAUUAAAAAUUUUUUUGGUCAAGAAUUAUGUUAAAAAUUUUAACUUGGUAUUUAAGCUGAAAAAAUAAAUAAUGAUAUAUAAAUAUAUAUAGAAUAACUCUAAUAAGUAAAAGUAGUAAGUUAAACAUUGGAAAAAAUAAGAAUAAAAAGAAAAGUGGAACCCUCUCUAAUGAAGUUUUGAUUGUGGGAGACCUACCAAUGCAAACAACUGAAGUUUGAUAAGGAUUAUUGAACCUAGAUAAUUUUUUUUGAAUAUUAACGAAGACAUAGUAUAUUAUUUUAGUAAUGUUUAAUAAGCUUUUUUAAUGUUGGAAUAGAUUUAUAAGCUUAAAAUCCCACAUGCAUGAUAAAGAAAUAUUUCAAGAAUGUUUUUUCAUGAAGAAAAUCAAACUUAGAGUGGCCAAGAGGAAACAAAGAUCUAAAGAAACUUACGUUGAGUUCUAGAACAUUUAAAAAAUAAUUUAUGAAUGCUAAAAAAUUAAGGACUAAAAUAUUGUUUUAGUUCAUGUAUUAUUUUUUUUUUCUGUUUGAUUUGAUCUUUACUUCAAUUUUGUGUUAAAUUAAUCUAUAAACUUUCGAAAAUAUUUGAAUUGAUUCAUCUCUUUUAUUGUUCACUAAUACCUUUAUUCAAUAGUAUUAUUUUGAAUCAAUUUCAAUAUUAUUCUUUAAAUAACAUUUUAGAUGAAAUUAUUAAAAUUUUUACACUUAGUACAUUAAUGCUAAUAAAUAAAACAAAAAAAUUAUUAUUAAUUUAAUUAUAUAUUAAAAAUAUAUAUAAUUAUUAAUAUAUUUUAAGAGUUCUAAGUCGUAUAUUAUUAAUUAUUUAAUAUUAAUUAUUUUUGGCUUAUUAUUUAACUUUGAAAGUUAGUGAAUAAGUAAUUGUGGUGCCUAGUAUAUUAUAAAUAAUAUUAGAGCAGUUGUGAGCUCAAUAACUCUACAUCGAAGGAAUUUUACAACUUUUAGACAUCUGAAUUGUUAUGUAAUAUGCAGCAUAUAUCCCAGUUUGAUAUAAUUUAUGCUUGUAAUAUGUACUCUACUUAUCUUUCUUUCAUAUAGGAGUGUCCAUCGAUUCGAAAUUAAGUCGGAUUAGAUUGUAUUGAGAACUUAAUAAGAGAGAAGAUUCGGGUUGAAGAUCAGAUUGUUUUCAUUUCGGUCCCAACUAGGACAUAUUGAUAUUUUCCAAUUUACAUGCAAUCUAGUUUGAAAUAGGUCAAACUAUUGUUAUUUUAAUAUAUUUUUUAAUUAAAGAAUUAUAAAAAACACAAAAAAUUAAUAAAAGCAAAAGGUAAAUCUGGUUCAAUCUACUAGGUGCAAAUAAGCUAGAAUUUUGAUUUGGGUUCCCAAAGUGAGAAUAAGACCAUUUCGUUGAAUCCAAUUGAAGUUGAAUAAUCUAGUCCAAACUGGGAAAAGAGAAUACCUAUACUUUGAGAGGAUGGAUUGAGUCACUAUUUACUCAUUCAAGGUUGGACAUGAAAGUUAUACAUGAAGAAUAUGUAUGCAUAUGAAGAUGUAUCAAUGUAUGUAUAUACAAGAAUAAGUAUGUUUUUUUAUACAAGAAUAAUUGUAUACAUAUAUAUAUAUAUAUAUAAAUACGUGGUAGGUGAGACACAAAAACUAUAAAUUAACCCAAUAUACAACUACUCAAGUAAUCUCCUGAUAGUAAACUAUUCUAAUAAUAUGGGAGAACUUGUUGGCUGUUUCUAAUAAAUUGUAAUAACAUCAUUGUUAAUAAGCUUGACAUGGUCGCCCAUUGAAUUUCAUACAAUUUCCACAUAAUUAAUUACAUGCACCCUACAUAAUAUAAAACAACUUCAAGUAAACAUAUUAGGAGAGUUUAUAAAUUACACAGCAUCUAAAUACUUAUAACAGCAUUUUAAAAAAUUAUUAGAUAUAAUUUUUACUUUAGUGAAAUCAUAAUAUUUUCUAAAAAAUGUUUGUAUUGAUCAAGUCAUAAGAAACAAAGAUAGUCUCACUAAUAUAUAUUCUCUAAUUACAGUAUUUCUCUUUUUUCGCUUUUUUGAUGUUGUUAUUCUAACAAAAAUGAGAGUUAGAUCAACUACAUUUUUACUAAAUAUAUAAAUAUAAACUAAUAAAAUUUAGAACAAUUUAUUAAUUUAAUAGCUGAAAUGUGAGCUAUACGUUUUUAUUCAGUUCCAAUUUUUGUCUAGUUUCAAUUUAGUUUUUAAACGUAUAAAAUGAUUUCAAAGUAUAAUUUUUAAUUUUUUAAUAAAAAUAGCAUAUUUUACUUGAUUGACAUAAAAAUUACAAAUAUAAUUAUUUUACUUAAGAUUGAAUAACAAGUUGAUAAUCUAAGUCAACAAGAAUUUAAAAUAUUAUAAUGAAAGCAUUAUUUAUAUGUCAAAUAAAUAUUAAGACUACACUUCCGUUGUUCACUUGACACUCGCAACAUUAUUUUAAACACAAAUCAUGUAAUCUAGACACUGACCUAUUCUGGAUCUGCAUUUUGUUCACCAACUUUUAAUAUAUGUAUAAUUAUAAUUAUAAUGUGUUGUUUACUACUAAUUUAAAUAUCAUUGCUAAGGUUAACGUAUCUUAGACUUAUAAUUACAACAAUAUCUUAUUACUAAUUUUAUUGCUAAGUAUGUAUCUUAUUCGGUAGUUAUAAAUUAAGCUAUCUCACCUACCAACUUAAAUAAACAAUAAAUGGGAGACAUAAGGAGUAUAGACACCUUCUUUUCCUUUUAACUUCUAUUUCAAUAAUGGAUGAUAAUUGGAUUUCCCACUGAAUGUAUAUUUUAAUUAAUCAUGAAAUAUAAAUAUGUAUAUGAAAAGUAUAUUUUCUUUAAUUCUCAAUAAACCAGAGUAUAAGCUAAUACCAAAUCCAAAUAACAUCCAUGAUUAAACAAAUAAGUCAAUAAAUUAUCAGUUAGUACUAAGGAAGAAUAAGUCCUUAACCAACAAGCUUAGUUAAUCAAAAUAGCACACCGAGCUGCCAAGUAACAAAAGAAAAAAAUACACACAAGUAGAUAAAGCAUAUAAGUAAGGAACUACAAAAAAGUAGGUGGUAAAUAGCUUUACGAGGACAUUAUCUACAAGAUUUAUAUAUGCUAUGUGACACCUUUGGACCUGUUUAACUUGAAUUAUUUAUCUUUUAAAUUUAAAUUUAAACUUUACAGUUUACAAAUUUUGUAUGAUGAUUUUAAUUAUUAUUAUUAAAAAGGAUAUUUAAAAUUUAAAAACAAACGAAGAAAACAAAGGGAGAACAUGUCUCGGGGGCAAGUCUCGGAAGGAAUGCCCGUGAGUAUGCGCGCGAAGAUGCGAGAUUGCUUGCCCACGCACCCGCAAGCCCCUGUGCAUGCGGAACAGUGCCACACACGCACACAAGGGGUAAGAUCUGCCUGCUACAGUGGUCGUGCCGGUGUCAUUGCAGCACGCUGCCAUAGGAUACAACCUAGGCCCAGAUAGGAGGCAUCACUAUAAACUGUAUAUCCUCCCGAUCCACUCGGUAAAGCCAGUACGGGUGCAGUGGUCAGCCACUCCUUUAAUUCUGAAAAACUUUUCUCACAGUCCUCAUUCCACUCAAACUUGGCAUUCUUCUUUAUAAGUCGGGUUAGGGGAGCCACUAGACUAGAGAAUCAUUCGACGAACCUGCGGUAAUAACCUGUCAUUCCUAGGAAGGUACGGAUUUCCUUAACUGAUGUCAACUUCUCCCAGCCAAGUACCGCUUCAACUUUUUCGGGAUUCACUGAUACUCCUUCCUUCGAUAUGAUGUGUCUUAGGAAGGCGGUCUGCUCAAGCCAGACUCCACACUUACUCAACUUUGCAUAUAACUUCUUUUUUUCAAGAACCUACAAAAUUUGGGCUAGAUGGUGAGCAUGCUCUUCUCUGCUUUUUGAGUAGACCAAGAUGUCAUCGAUGAACACGAUAACAAAUUGAUUCAAGAAUUCUCUGAAGACCUUGUUUAUCAGAUCCAUAAAGAUGGCCGGGGCGUUGGUUAGCCCAAAUAGCAUGACUAGAAACUCAUAGUGUCCGUACCGGGUUUGAAAGGCCGUUUUGGGGAUGUUUUCUGUUCUUAUUUUCACAUGAUGGUAACCUGAUCGUAGGUCUAUUUUGGAGAAGACCUGCGCGCCCUGCAGCUGAUCGAAGAGGUCAUCAAUUCUGGGAAGGGGAUAUUUAUUCUUGAUUGUGACCUUGUUCAAUCCUCUGUAAUCAAUACACAGUCUCAACGUUCCAUCUCCCUUCUUGGCGAAAGUGACUCUGGCACCCCAAGGAGACACAUUGUGUCUAAUAAAAUCACUGUCUUGCAAUUCAGUGAUCUGUUUCCUCAGCUCUUCCAUCUCAACGUGGCUCAUGCGGUAAGGAGCAAUCGAAAUGGGCUGGGUGCCUGGUUGUAGGUCUAUAGUGAACUCAACUUCCCUGUCCACUGGCAGUCUGGGUAGUUCGUUCAAAAAUACAUCUGGAAAGUCUAGGACUACUGGAAUCUCUUGAAUACAAAUUUCAUUCUUGGGCUUGCCUAGUUAGAGAAAAUAACAAGGUUACAGUACUUGAAAAUUAAGAAAAUUUACCAUCAAGGAAUAAGUACCAAAUGAUUUUAUUAAUUUGUAAAUGGCUUCUCAUUAGGAGGAUUAAAUACAACCUUCUUGUUAAAGCAAUCUAUGAUGGCGUGAUAUGCCGCUAGCCAAUCCAUCCCUAAAAUUAUAUCAAAAUCCCCCGUGUCUAACCCUAUUAGGUCUACACUCAGUUUUUUUUUUACUAUCUCCACGGCACAAGCCCUAUAGACAACUUUUCUUAAUAGCAUUUCACCCUCAGUAGUAGACACAAAUAACAUUGAAUUAAGUUUAUCAGGUGAUACAUUAAGUUUAGAUGCAACAACACGUGAAACAAAUGAAUGCAAUGCACCAGUGUCAAAUAAAACAUGAGCAAUAUGGUUACAGAUAGUGUACAUACCCUGUACCACGUCCGGAUCGGCAUCGGCAUCCUGCUGUGUGAGGUUGUAAACCCUGCCCUGAAUAGGAGGUCUUCCUUGGUUCUAGUUCCUCAGGCACUCUCUCGCAUAGUGCUGGGCACUACCACAUAUGCGACAGGUGUUGUUGAGGUGAUAGUAUGGUCGGUCCCUGUGAUCCCUGCCGCAGUGCUGACAUAUCUUGCCACAUGUUGCCCUGGGAGACUGAGGGGGAGCCUGGAUUGCCGGUCUGGGCCUUUUAUUUUGUUGGAUAGGUGCAGUAGGUGAUGGUCUGCGGGGUGGAGUUGAGGGUCUGUGACUUCCUGCUAACUGAGAAAGGGUGUUGAAACUCUUCUCCACGAUCUGCGCCUUUGCUAAAACGGUUGAAUAUGUUUUGAGCUCUAGUACCAAUAAGUGCUGCUUGAUCUCUGGGUGGAGGCCCCACUGGAACCUCCUAGCCUUCCUGCCCUCAUCUAUCAAUGUCUCAGGGGAGUAUCGCCCCAUCUCUAGGAACUUACGAGCAUAUUCCGAUACCGUCAUGUUUUCCUGGACUAGCUGAACAAACUCCAUCUCUUUUAGAUGUCGGAUGUGCUCGGAGAGGUACUCCGCAUAAAAGACUACUAAGAACUGCUCUCAAGUGACUGGUGUAGGCAGGGUGGUCUGCUUGAGCUCCCACCAACGACCUGCUUUUCACAAAGAAGGGUUGAGUAACGAUUAAUUAGUUGGUAUUUGUCUAAAUAUUAUUGUGUAAGGGACGAGUCUGAGGAACGCGACUCUGAUACCAAUUGUAACGGCUUCGAAAAUUAAAAGAAAACGUAUAUAUAAAAUUCUAAGUACGGAAGCGAAAUGAAAUAUUAUGAUUAACAUCCCUUACACAGUAAUCAAAACGUAUUAAACAUAUGAAAGAAUAAGUUAACUAAAAUAAAUACUAGAAAUGAAUACUAUAAGGAAAACUAUAACAUCUUUAGGCAUUUACUCGCCGUCUUCCUGCGGAACGGGCUCGGGAACCAAGUCCUCAUAAUCUGAAAUGGUUAAGUAAGGAAUGAGUUACACUAGCCCAGUAAAGAUGUAGCGCCCAUAAAGGAGCAAAAAAAAAAAAAAAAAAGCCACAUCGGCAGCCACGUCAGCAGGCCCAGUCAGCAGUCCCGUCAACCCGGGACCUGCCACGUGGCAAGACCACGUCGUUCCAGAACGGGCCAAGUUGGCGAUCCGCGUAGGUGCGAUCGGACGGCCCAGAUCAAGCGUGCGAUCGGACGGCCCAGAUGCAAUCGCACGGACGGUCCAGAUUCAAUCAAAAACAGACGGCCCAGAUUAAAACAAAAUGGACGGCUGAGAUCAAAAGGCAAAGGGUUAUAAAUAGAACCCCCACACCAGACCACAAACCCUAACCGCCUGCCGCUCCCCGGAGAAGACGAACCAGAAGCCGGACGCCGCCACCCGCCGCCGCAUCGAGGAAAUUUCCGACCGCUGAUCGAGGUAAAUUUCGUACCCCCGACUCGUUUUUCCACGCUGAUUCCUCCAGUGGCUAAAUCGGAGCCAAAAUCCCGGCCAAACGGCCGGAAUACACGGCCGAAGCCCAGCGGCGCCGCCGCACCCCUUCUCGGUUUUUGCCUCCGAUGAGGCCCUUCCCGGCCUUCGUUUGAUGCAAUUUUUAUAUCACCGUGAUCACCAUUCUUUUCUCUACAGGUUGACCGGAGUCGAAUCACCAAAACACGAACCUCGCCGGAGAGCCGCCGCACCCGAGAGCGCCGCCGCCGGUAAGCUCAGUUUUUCCGUGAUUUUUUGGCCCCCCGAGGGCCCUAGGGUUGUUUUCUCGCAGGGACCGAUGCGAGUGUGGCCAAAUUCAGCCAGAAACGGCCGAAAACAGCCAACCCGAGGCGAAUCGCCGCCGCCAACGGCGGUGCCGUCGCCGGAGCACGGCGGAGCCGCCGUGCCGGAGUUUCGAUAUUGGCCGAAAGGGGGCCCUGGGCCUAAUUUGGGAUUUUUUGGAACACGUGCAGGUACCAGUAGUGCGUUUCAGUUCCCCGAGAAAAAUUCAGGGAAAAUUAAGGACAGCUUUUAGGCGCACUGUGAAGCCGUAUUCGGACCCCGAAACGUGUAAGGACCCCUCACCUUAUUUCCUAUCACGGUUUUAAAGUUCAAUAAAUGAUAAAACGGUAUUUCAUGAAUCAACGAAUGUGUGAAAUUGCUUAAGGUCGCUAAUGGAGCCCAAGUCUAGUGUAUUUGUCGGUUAACUGUUAUUUGGCCUGUUUUACAGUUUUAAAUGCAGCAUGAGGUUCGAUAAUUUCAUUUUAUAGUUUCGUGUGCAUAUUUUACUGUUUUAUUGAUUAUGGAUUAAAUGACCGGGACAUUGAUGCUGUAUGUUAUCUGUUUAGCAUAAAUUACUGUUUGCUUGCUUGUAUGUGGAUUAAUGAUGCUGACUGAGGAAAAAGAGAGUGAAAAAUUAUGUAAUUGGGCAAUUGUAUAAUGUGGUCAGCCUGACUAGAUAUCCUGAGAGAUGAUGGACGGACCGGGUCCGUAGGGAACCCUACCGGGAUUGUGGUCUCCCAUACCGGACGGGGUAUGGAGAUCUUAUGUGUUUUGGCGCCCAUACCGGACGGGGUAUGGGGACGGCCCGUUUCACCCUCAUACCAGACAAGGUAAUGAGGUCUAUGUUUUGGCGCCCAUACCGGACGGGGUAUGGGGACGGCCCGUUUCACCCUCAUACCGGACGGGGUAAUGAGGUCUAUGGUUUGACGCCCAUACCGGACGGGGUAUGGGGACGGCCCUGGAAUGGAUUUCAAGUGUUAAGGAUUAACGGGUAGCGGGACCCCUAUGGAUCCCCAUGGAUACUAGUGGGCUGGUGAAUCAGGAAAAUAUGUUGUGUAACGAUUGAAUUACGAAAAGUUUGAUAGGUAUUAUGUUAUACAGUUCAUAUAUAUGUUUUCAUGAUGAUGAUGAUGUUAUUGCUUUCGUAUAUUGUUUUAUGAAUUUCACCGAGGUAAGUGAAUGGUAAAUGUUUUAUUAUUAAUAAAAGGAUUUGUUGUAAAUUAUGCUCCAUUGGUCUUUUUGUGUUUUCUACCCACCUUUACCUCCGUGACGGUGAGAUAUCGUGAUGUCUUUACUGGGCUAGUGUAGCUCAUUCCUUAUUUAAUCAUUUCAGAUCAAGAGGAUAUCGUUCCCGAGCCGGUUCCGCAGGAGGACGACGAAGGGGAUGCCUAAAGACUCCCUAGUCACAUUCGUAGUUUUUUUUUACUUUCACGUUUCUCCUUUAGGUAGUUUAAUCUUUUAUAUUUUGUGAGCACGUUUUUGGUUUUAGUGUAAGGGAUGUUAUUUAAAUUUUGACUCCGCUUCCGCAUUUGAUAUUUAUAAUAUAAUUUCCAUUUUAAAUUUCCGGGGCUGCUACAGUUGGUAUCAGAGCCAGGUUUCCUCGGACCCAUCCCUUACACAAUAGUGCCUUAGAGAAAUACUCACCGAUAUAUCGUUACUCAAUCAUUCCUUGUGAAUGCAGGUACACGGGAAUGAGGAGAGGAAUGCCCCCACUAAACCGAGCGGCCCCAGAUAAUUCACUUCGGGAGGAUUUAGAUAGACUAUUCGAGAUGGUGGAGGCUCUCGCAGCUGCCCAGCGAAGGCAAGAGGAGAGAAGGGAGUUACCGGGACCUCCUCCGCUGGCGCAGGUUGAGCCCCCGCUACAGCAGGCUGAUCCCGAGCCACCCCGGCAGGAGCCUAUUCCUCCACGGUACCACCCGGC
This 50800-nucleotide long non-coding RNA is filed under the name Carica papaya (papaya). RNAcentral describes it as "long non-coding RNA (CPAP_LNC005922)". Lineage: Eukaryota; Viridiplantae; Streptophyta; Magnoliopsida; Brassicales; Caricaceae. The record is from RNAcentral.